Molecule: long non-coding RNA, 58616 nt
Filed under: Vitis vinifera (wine grape)
Lineage: Eukaryota; Viridiplantae; Streptophyta; Magnoliopsida; Vitales; Vitaceae
Description: long non-coding RNA (VVIN_LNC005655)
Source: RNAcentral
AAGUUUUUCUCAACAUUUCUAUGAGUUCUCAUCAAUUUUUGUCCAACUAAUUUUUUUUGUCAAAAUUCCCACCAAUAUAUCCUAAUAUAUCUGUAAAAUCCAACUACCAAUAUAUUCGUAAAACCUCUAUUUUCAUCCUUGGUCUAAAUCAUCUUAAUGAAUUUUCAAGUAAAAGGAAAAAAAAAAACAAUUUGAUACAAGAUUGAAACUACACUACACUGAUGGAGUGCUUAUAGCAUUAGCCGAGAUCGCCUAAUAAUAAAAUUGAUUCUUUCGAACUAUGAAGCAAAGGGACUAGGAUUGGAAUGCAAUGGAAAACACAAGUAAACAUGUGUCCCACAAUCAUCAUAAAACAAUAUCAAAUCUAACACAAACCAAAAAAUUGAUGGUUUCACCAGAACUAUUAGUUGGAAGGUUUAAGCAGUUAACCAACUGGUAAACCAAAAAAGAGAGGAGAUUCUACAUAAAUACAUGGAGACCUCAAAAUGAAUGAAGUACCCACGUUUAACAUGUGUUAGAACCAAAGUCCAUGGAUUCAUAUAUCACACUUCUGAUUACUUUAUUUUUAUUUGCACAAUAUCUUUUUCACAUAUAUCCAUAAACAAAACUAGAGUAAAUUUAAUACUGAAGAUAGGUUUCUCAUACGCCAAGAAAUGUUCAUUUACUUAUAUGCCAUUGAAUACUUAAACAUAGAGGCAAUCUUCAUAAUGCACAUGUUCAAUCUCCAAGAUUGGGCCUUUGAAGCUUCAAAUUCUAAGUGCCAAUUCCAAACAUGGGUUCAAUGAAUCUCCAAGAAACGAUUUGGGUGCUUGAUCCAACAAAGAGAUUGGAUAAAGGCCUUCACUCAAGAACUACUGCAUUUAUUUGCAUUAGCAUAACAUAAUAAUUCAAAAACUAGUUUUGCCUUCAUAUUUGCUUGUACAUUUAUGAGAUCAAACAUUCUUUUUCAAACCCAACAAAAAACAAUAAUAAAUUGCGGGAAAAUAUGAUAUCAUCUACCAUGCAUGUCUCUUUUUCUUUUUGAUGCUUGGUUGAAAUUAACCCCUAUGCUCAUAGAAGCUACAUGCAAUAAGUAUCCAUUUCUAGAAAACUUCAAUAAAUGCAAACAAGACCUAAUAGAAGUGUAGAGAAAUAUAAAACAAAAGUUGCAAUCUAUCUUACUCAGAAUCACAUCAAUUAGAUAAUAUAUGUCUAACAACAGGAAAAAUUUCACAUGCUCCAUAAUUUGACUAACUAAACUAGAUGUCAUAAAAAAAAACCAGCGAUGUCAAGGAAAUGAGUGUACUGGCCAAAUAUCAUAGGGGCCAAGUUUGUCUCAUGUAUUUUUUCAAGGAACUUUUAUGAUAUCCCACAUCCAAAAUGGGAGAAAGUUACUAAGGUUAUAUAUGUAUGGACUCUUCUUAACUUUGUAAACAUGUUUUAAAGCCAUAAGGGCUCAUUUGGGUUCAAAGCGGACAAAAUCUACACAAUUGAGAGCGGGUCGUUACAUAUGGUAUUAGAGUUGAUCCCCGACCCCAGUGUGGGGCAUUGUUUGGCCCCGCAAAAGGUGUUUGUCUGUUUGAAUUCAUAAUCUCAUGAGACACAAUAAGGAUGUUAUGUUUGUAUGAGAAGUCUUUGUGAUAUCUCAGAUCAGAUAGGGGAGAAAGUUACUGAGACUAUAUAUGCAUGGACUCUUCUUAACUUUGUAGAUGUGUUUUAAAGACAUGAGAGCCCCUUUGGGUUCAAAGUAGACAACAUGUAUAAGGUUGAGAGUGAGUCAUUACAACUUGUGAGAGAAGUACCACAUAGUCCAUAAAGCUAUCUAAGAGUCUUGAAAAUCCAUUUGUUUCAUACAUCACCACAACCUUUUAAAGGAUAUGCUCCUAAGUAAAUUCAGGUUCUAAAGUCUCAAAUAUAAGGUGACAUUAGUUUUAUAGGGAAAUUAGAUCAUGACUAUCAAGCAGGACAAACUUAUGAUUAAUUUCUUUUAGGAGUGUAAACAGUACACAUACUAAAAUAUUACAUGGAGGUGCAAUUAUCCAAGACUAUUCAAAUAUGGUAUGUUCACCAUGCAUAUUGAAAAAGUAGAAACCACCAUUGAAUCACACAAUAAAAUAACUGGACAAUGGAAAGCAUAUCAAACAAAGCAGCUUUUGCAACUGUAGCUGAAAAUUUUAAGAUAUGAUAUCUCAACCAACUAAAGGUAUAAGUAAUGCACAUAAACACUGGGCAAUUAUUCAAAGUAGCCAUCUAGUGCAAAAUUUAAUAAUUUAGUAACUUCUGAACACUAUAAAAUAAAUAAAUAAAUAAAUAUGGCAUGUACAAGCAGAGUGUAAAGAAAACCUGGGUGAAACAUCAUUGAUACUCCAUACAGAUGAAUAGUUUAUUUCACAUGCUUGUUUUCGUUUGUCAUGCAUUCCAAAUGCAACACUGCCAACAUGCUCAAUGCAACAUUUCAUCUCAGUGUUGUGCCCAUUGUAUACUUUUAAUAUCAAUUCCUUCCUUCACCAUUUCAUAGAGUGGGCUCAUUUCUCUCAAUUUCUCCACCUGCUGCACCGUGAGUUCCACAGCCCUAUCAAUUUCAGCGUCUGUGGUAAACCUCCCAAUCCCAAACCUAAUAGAGGUAUGAGCCAUAUCCUCAUCCACCCCCAACGCCCUUAGAACAUAUGAGGGCUCCAAACUUGCACUUGUGCAUGCACUCCCACUGGAAACUGCCACUUCCUUCAACCCCAUUAGCAAACUCUCCCCUUCAACGUAAGCAAAAGACAAAUUCAAAUUCCCAGCAUACCUCCUCUCCCUACUCCCAUUUACCACCACACCAUCAAGUUUUGCGUUGAUCCCGUUAAGCAGCCUUUUUUGCAAAGCAGUGAUUCGCUCAUCGUCAUACUCCAUUUCUUUCAUUGCCAGCUCACAUGCUGCGCCCAUUCCCACAACCAGCGGAGUUGGGACUGUCCCACUGCGAAUUCCCCUUUCUUGCCCACCACCAUUCAUCUGCGGCUCAACCCUAAUCCUUGGCCUACGCCGCAUAUACAAGGCCCCAACUCCCUUGGGCCCAUAAAUCUUGUGCCCACUCAAAGACAUCAAACUCACAUUCAUCUUCUCCACGUCAAUCGGAAUUUUGCCCAAAGCCUGAGCCGCAUCAGUAUGAAAAGGAACACCCAACUCUUUACACAUCUUCCCUAUUUCUUCAAUCGGCUGAAUCACGCCAAUCUCAUUAUUCACCGCCAUCACCGACACGAGCCCUGUAUCGGGCCUAAUCGCGGACCGAAUUUGAUCAAUAUCAACAAUCCCAUCAGACCCUACCGGAAGGUACGUAACCUCGAAACCUUCCUGCUGUAAAUGGCGGCAGGAGUCAAGAACACACUUGUGCUCCGUUUGCGUAGUGAUGACGUGGCGCUUCUUGUCCUUGUAGAAGUGCAUGACGCCCUUGACGGAAAUGUUGUUGGAUUCAGUGGCGCCGGAGGUGAAGACAAUCUCCUUAGGAGAGGCGUUGAUUAGCGCCGCCACCUGUGCCCUUGCCUUCUCGACAGCGAGUUCCGAUUCCCAGCCGUAGAGAUGAGUCCGGGAAUGAGGAUUCCCAAAGCUGGAGAGGUAGUAGGGAAGCAUAGCAUCGAGAACCCUAGGGUCCACAGGAGAUGUUGCCUGCACAUCAAGGUAAAGCGGCCUUCCAGAAAUUUUAACCCCUUUCAUGCUAAUCCCAUCUGCAUCCUCGUACGAUUCCUUCGCCGCCACCGCCGCUGUAGCCGUAGAAAGGUGGCUGAGGAGGCGGCAGGUGGGACUGGUAGUUUUGAGGGUUUGGAGGAGUCUGGAAGCCAUGGGUGUGAUGAGUUUGUGGUCUGUUGAGGAGUGACAAAUGGGGCAUGUGCAGCGAACUAUCCACGUGGAGCAGCAUGCAGACAAGUACACCACCCUCUGCAUGUGCUCCUCUAGUCCUCAAAUCCUCAAUCCUCACCACAACAUAGGAUUCUCUGACGUAGGCAGCCGGCGCUGGUUAUUCAUUUUUCGAAAAUAUUUGCCAAAAUUCUUACGAAAAAUAUUUGCAAUUAUUUUGAUGAACAAAAUUUUAUUUAACAACUCAACCCAUUCAAAAGCAUAUUCCACUCCCCACCCCCACCCAACACCAACGCCCCAGAGUUUAUGAAAUAAAAUCAAACAGCCUAUUUCUCCGGUCUUCCAUUGGCACCAGGCCUGACCCUUUUCUACUCAUUUUUUAGUUAAGUUACCGUUUGAGAUUCUAUUGGCACAAUAAAAUGCUGGACUCUUUACUGCUCUAGCCAAGCUAGGAUUGUCUGGGUCAAGUUAGAAGAUGGAGCUGAGUUGUCCUAUACCUGGACCCAGCCUGCCUGAAUUGCAAAAGCUAACCGUGGUUUAGAUUUGUAAAAACCGAAAAAAAAAAAAAAAAACCUUCAUGUAUACAAGUAGCACAAUGUAUCAAUUAUUUCCAGAUGCAAGCAAGCUGCAGUUCCAACAAUGGCAGCAGAGGAUAGUAGAGUCAACUGGAAAAUUUUCCUUCAGUCUUUUGGAACACAAGUACUUAAACAUUUUACAGGCUAAACAGUGAAAAAAAGAGUUGUAUAUGCAAGGUGGACGAGUGGAUCAUUUCUCACCCAACCAUUGCAAUUGUGAUCACCGAAGAUCAAUGACAUCAAAAUGUAUAUUGGGAUUCAUAUAAACAUCUGUACAGCUUUUGUAGAUGGGCCCACCAUCCGAAGGAGAAUGAUGUGGAUGAAAGCCACGUUGGUCGCAGUGUCUUAUGACUGACAUGCCACCUGGAGUUGUCAGGCGGAAAAUGCCAUGCUUUCUGCAUGUGUGAAAAGAAGGAAAAAAUUGCUUAACAAUAUUCAUAUGGCAUAGAUGAUAAUGCAUUCCUUCACCAGAUGAGAGAAUUCACUCUUACUUUGAAGCAUCCUUUGGUGCCAUGACAAUUGCUAUGGCUUCCGGUAGCAUAGUCUGAGGAGGAAAAGAGAACAUUCAAACAAAUAAAUUAUUUAAGAUGACAUGCUUAGGACCAAAAAAGAAAUGGUGAAAGGGCACACCUGAUAUGAGUAAUGGGUAUGAAGAUCAACAGAAGACAUGAAACACGACUGGGUAGGAUGAGUCUGAAAGUCAAACCAUGGCGAAUGAUUAAUCAUUAUUGAUAAAAAGGUUGAGCAAAGGUAAAUCACUGCAUUGGAACAAUGGAAGCAUAUAAAGAUUAGGAACUGAAGCAUAUAAAUCUCAUCUUCCUUACUGAUAAUCAAGAUCCAUGAUAACAAAAAUGGUUAUGCAGUUCUCUCCUAUAGAUCGAUUUCCAUCAUUCCAUCAUUCCAUCAUUUCUGCUCCUUGUUUGAUUUGAAGCAUCCAUCCAUUUCCAUUAUACAUUAAGACCUUUAGAUUCUAUGAUACUUCAAUGAUAGUUCUGACUCUAAAUUAAACGUUGUUUUAUAGUUGCAUCAAUUAAAACCAUAGUUUCCAAAAAAAAAAUGUAGUACACCUUGGGAUGUAUUCCUAAUAUGUAUUGCAAGUUUAUCCAUGACUUUAGAAAAUAAGGACCACUACCAAUCCCUAACCAAGCUUGUAGUGAUUCGAACUUUGAUUGUACCUCCUUCAAUUGUUGUUACUAUAGUUGCUACUCCAUUUUAUGUCUUAAUUACAUAACUAUUAUAUAUUUAGUUCUAGACCUUUCUUUUCUAAAACCUUCCACAUUACCCUUCUGAGUAAACCAUCUUAUGCCUUCUCAAAACCAAUAAAUACCAUAGGAAGGCCUUUCUUCUUUUCACUAAAACCUUUACAUCAAUCACCUAAGCCAAAAACUUCCAUUGUGUGAUCAUCCUGGGAUAAACCAAAUCAGUUUUCUAAUAACCUUAUUUGCCGACCAAACUCCAGAUCAUCACCCAUGUGCUUCCACACCUCAGCUGGGAUACCAUAUUGUUCCAUGCCUUUUUUGCAUCUUUUCCACAGCUUCUUCGACUUUAGAGACCCUUUGCCAUGUAGACACUAAUUCCAGAAAGUGCCAAUAAUUUCUAAAGGGGAAAAGGAUAAAAAUUAGAAUGAACAUCUCAUGGUUUCCAUGGCCAUGGAUUGAGACAUUGCAGCAAUCUUCACCAAGGAUAAUGUGUACCAAACUGUACUUGGAGUGUUAAAACAAGUAAUAAGAUGAAAUUUUAAAAUUUACCACAUUAGCUCUUUUCCAAUACUAUAUUUAUAUACCAUUACAGAACCAAGAAUGUAGCAACAUUUCUAAUAACAGAUGAAAUAAGCCAUCAUAAGCCAGCUUCUUCUAAAGAACACCCACAUGCUAACCAUGAACAAGUAUUGCCAAAAAAGUGUUAUUUAUUAUAAUGAAUUUAAUUUUAAUAGUAAACCAGCCAGAUGAUCAUAAGAUUAUGAUUGGACGAAUAAAUACUUACAUGUAUCCACCCAAGAGGGAAGAGGGAUUGCUUAUCCUGCACUUCAAAAAUUUCCUCUUCAUUUGUGGUCUGACACUGAUCAGGAAUUACAAAUUAAUCCUAACAGUUAUAGAGGUGCAAUUUUAUGCAGCAGAUAUGAAAUAUCUCCACACAACAUUUAAAGAAACUGACUUACUGAAUCUGAUGUUGACUCCUGCUUCGGAAUAAUGAGAGCUGUGACAUAAAAUUUUCUGUUCUUCUGCAGUAAAAAAAAUUUUAAACAUUAAAUAUGACAUAGUGCUUAAAACCACUGUAGUGGGGUUACAUUGUUCAACACUCACAAGUGAACCUGCAAGGAUACCACAAGUUUCCAAAUUCCUGACAGUGUUCGACUUAGCAAGCUUCAAGAAGCUUUCCAUCAAUACAGUUGACUGCAAAGCAAAACAAUCAUUACAACAAGAGACUGCUCACUAAAUCUUAUUUUUAACUGACUUACGCAUAACUCACAAGACGACAGAAGCUCGCAUAAAAAAAAACCAAUGAUCAAAAUGAAGAGGAAAGUCAAGAAUCUCACAAUGUGCAUUUCGAGGGGAGCUUCAGAACAAACUAACCCAUCCGUUGAUGGGGUCUCCAUUUGGCCAUUUACCUCACUAACUUGGGUGGGAGUCUCUGGGAUCAAAUCUUGUACGUCUGCCAGAACAGGUGGAGGAGAAGGCUGUCUGAUAAUCUCUGUAUGAGGAGUUUCUGUGGUUUCAAAAGAAAUCAAGGAACCCAGUUCCUCAGCAGGAUGAAUCUGAUUAUCCUCGUUCAGUGUAAGGACUGAUUCCAAACUAGAUUGCUCAUGUUCUGAGCUGCUAGCUUCAUUGUUAUUCAUAAGUCCAUCCUCCACAUGAUGCUGCAGACUGUUUCCCAUGAAGACCACAUGGUUAUAUGAAUCCAUAACCAUAAACAAGAUAACAUAAGAAUGGCAACAACCAACAAACACAAACAAUGCCAAGGACAUAGGACUAGCUAAUUAAAACUUUAUGAACACUAAGUUCAUGUCUAAUAAAAAUAUAGUGCCAUCACAAAGGUAUCUUCUCAUGCCAUUUCCCAUUAUUUUAGAUCUGAUCUGACUUAAUCUGGAAGGAAAAGUUAGUAAUUCACAAAUGUUACUGACAGUCUAACCUUGGAAAUUGAACUGGAGUCAAAUCUAAAUUGCUUGGAUAUUGGACCUACAUUCACAAGAGAAAAGUAAUUAUAGUUUGUGCAUUGUUCAAACCAAAGAAAUACUUAACAUCAUACCCUUUUAUCAAUGGUAGGUGGCUGCCACUGCCCAUGAAGUCCAUUUGGACCCAAAAUAGAGUGUCUGGAUAGAGUUUCCUCCCUUGGGCGCAGGAUACCAACAGAUCUACAAGAAGCAUUUAAACAAGCAAAAGUGCACAAUAAGGCCUAAGGAUGUCAUGUGUGACUUGAAACCAACCCAACUUUUUCUGUCAUACACUUAUCUUUAUUUUCAUUAAAUAGAGUCUCUUUUGGUACUCAGUCCAUUGAAUAGAAUAGAAAUAAUAUCUACACAUAUAUAAGUAUAAUGUUGCAGUUUUGAAUGUCUAAAGAAAAAUAAGUGUGCACAAAAAUUGUACAAAAAUGAUUGCCAAACUCUUCAAAAUUAAACAAUUUGAUGUUCCAUGCCUUCAAGAAUUUAGCAACAGUGUCAAUUGGAUAUUUUCUCCAAUUGGCAAUCAAAUCAAAGAACCAAUAAAGGCAACAUAAUACAAGUACUACAUAAGGGAUUCUUUGGGGGAGAGGGAGAGAAGAAAAAGAAAAGAACCUAAAUGUUAGGGAAAAUCAUUUACUAAGAAUAAGAUAAUAGCAGGUGACAGCUCAAGGUCGAAGUACUACAUGUCAGGUUGGGUUCUUUGGAUACAGAAGUUUUAUCCAGGGUUUCUUUUGGAAAUUGAGUUUCAAAAGAAGAUUAGAUCUGGAAAAGAGAGAUUCUGCUUCAGAGGAGCAAUGCUGAAAUGCUAGAUUUCAAGAAACCCCACCCGGUAGUCUCCAGUAAGUAAAAAGCUUAAUUUCACUUCACCUCCGGCCCCCUGGAUCAAGACCUUGCACUCUCAGCGAUUCGGAAAUUGUAAAAAUGUUAUGCAUUUCUUUGCUCUCUUCCCCUUCCUUUUCCACCUCCUUACCUCGGUUAGACAUGGCAACCAGAUAAAUGUGGAACUGCAGUCAUCUCCACAACCUCUUCCCAUAUGCAUAUCUUUGUAGUGUCCAGUUGACACGAAUCUUGAACACAAGGCAUGUCCAAACCCUCUGCCUGUACACGUAUCCAUGUCAUCUUGUGUUGUGUCAUGCCGGCACAAAUACUCCAGGGAAAUUAGGUAGAUCGAUGUAACAAACUUUUAUGAUAUAUUAGGAAACAAAUAAAUAGCCUCUGACCGCUGGCUUAGGGGCAAAGUAUUAGGGUGGGCCUGGGGAGGUUUCAAAUAAAUUUGUAUGCCCAAAAACAGAAGUUACAUCUCAAAAAAGGAAAUACAGCAAAUCUAUGUGCAAGCUGCAGAUAACUUGGACUAAAUAAAACAAUUUAAUUUUAAAAGUAAUAAAAAUGGAAGAAUAAAAGCAUAUGUAACAAUAAGCUAAAGCAAUAAGCUAAUUCAUUUUUCACAUUUAUUAAAUUAAAAUUUAACUUGGCAUAUAAAAUUUUAGGACCAAAUUGCACACAACUUUUAAUUUAAGGAAAAUACACCUAAGACAAAAUCAAGAGGCAAUGCAAAUUACUUAGAUGUUUAAAAGAUUUUGAGCAAAUACUUAGCUCACAUAUUUAAAAGAACGCAUUAUGGCCUUUGUCGCCUAGCUCAAGUGAUAAUGAAUUGUGGUGGGGAUGAAAGGUUCCAAACGUAAUUCCAUCAACAGAAAAAGAGAAAAAAGGGGGGAGGAGAAGGAACACACAGAGAGAGAGCCUAGUAAAUUAUUUUUUGAAAUAUUAAAAAAAAAAAAACAUUUGGUAUUUUAGGCCUUGUUAUUUUACUAUAGAACACAUAUAGUAUAUAAAUCUAUUCAUCAUAUAAGAUUCCUGUUGGUCGGCAUAAUUCAAUACCUCAGCACCUGGAAAAAGCAAAAGAUUAUAUAGAAACGCCAGAAGUACAAUAUGUUGAUUCUUAUAGAUAAUUUUUUUUUAAAGGGAUUUCUUAUAGAUUAAUAAAUUCCAUGAAGAUUCCCUUUGUAAAAAUUCCACAGUUGAUUCAAGUAAUGCGAAGAGGCAUUAUACAAAAAGAAUAAGUUACAUAUAAUUUUUUUAAUAUUGUUGAACAUACUCAAAAGUUAAUGCUUUGUAUUCUGUUUUACUUUUGCAUAAAAAAGGCAAAGCUUUGAGAAAAUACGGUGGCAUGGUCUUAAUUCCAAACGUUUUUUCUGGAAAUAUUCAAAACAUUUCUGCCUUGUAGAAAACUGAAACAAAACCUAAAGAUGGAUUCAAAACCCCAUAGUUUCCAUCCAACUAUUUUUGGUAGAGAAUGAACAGUUAUUAAGAGAGAGAACAAUGAGAAAGGCUGCAGAAAGGAAACUGCAAGGGGGGAAAACCACUCUGGCAUUGUCUCCAAGGUCUGGCUUAGGUGGCAAGGCAUUUGGAUGGGGGGAUGUGGACAUUCAAUUCCAGGUUCCACGUAACCACAAAAUAUGUUACCCAUCAACAAAGGCAAAAAAAAUACCAGCUCUUACAUCCCCCCACAACAAAAGCUCUACAUUCAAAGACGGAGAAAGUGCCUCUUAAAACUCCUCAAGAGUCAAAUCUCCUCUUUUAGCAACCAAAAGAAGUAUAUAUAUGUACACACACAUGCACACAGAGAUAUAUCACCUUCUUAUAAUUAGAUUAUUCUGAUAAAGGUGAUAUCCAUGCUAGAACAAAAGCCCCUCAAUCUCUCUCAAGCCUCAUGGAUAGAUAAUCCUCCAAGAUUCUGAAUAACAACAUUUUUAUCCGUUUUGAUAUUGACCCUUUUCUUGAAUAAAAGCCUGUUGGGCAAAUGUCUUAUAAGACUCCAUCUAUGGGCUUAGAUGCCCACUCCAGAAAACCCUACAUUAGCAGCCUAGAAGAAAUAUAGUUCUAUUAAUAGUUUGGUUACUAGGUGUUGCCUGUGCAAACAGGACUUAGAAUUGGCUUUACAGAUUCUCAUCCAUUACAAGUGGACUUCCAAUUUGGGGUCCUUGGUGUUUUGCUUGUUCAGAGUAUCCUGGGUGAUUCCUUGCUCAAAGAUUUUAUGUGCAGUUGGCAGCAAUCAAAUCCAAUUUUAUAUAUAUUUUGUGAAUUGGGCUAGGAUGGACAUAGAAUUUUAUAGAUUGGUUGAGCUUAAAAUAAGGAGAGGGAUUUUUUUGUUUUUGUCUUUCUUGUCUACAUUAGGCAUUUAUUGUAUACUUCAUGCCAACUGUGUUGUGCCUUCUCUUAGACACAUUUUAUACAUUUUCUCAUUUGCCUAUCAAAAAAAAGAAUAUUGGUUUUGUGGCUAACAUGCACAAGUUGGUAUGGAAAUUGCCUACUUUGUGUCUAGUUUGGACAAUUUGGAAAGCAUGUAAUAGAAGAGACUUCUGGAGGUGAAAAUUUCCUUUUUAAGGGCAUUAUUUGUGUGAUCUAGUAGGGUCAUUGGGUAUCCCAAAAAUUUUUCCCUCGAUUUUGUACAUAGUUUAGGUUAAGGAAGGUGGCUCAAUUGUGUAUUUUUUUAUUAUUUUUUCCUUUCUAGCCUUCAAGUACCUUGUACACUUCUUGUAUACUCAAGUUGCAUCCCUUUAUGAAGGUGCUUUUCAUUUUAUUCUCUCUCAUCUAUUUGCCUGAAAAAAAAAAGUUACUUUAUUUAAGCAUUAGUAAAUAACACUUGCUAUAAAAAUCAAAUACUUCUUCCCUAUAAUAUUGCUAAGCAAAUAAUUUAACAUUAUUAGCAUUAAGCCCUGUUUAUAUAAGAAGCAAUCUAGAAGAUGCAAUAUUGUUCCAUCCAAGGCAUCCUAUGAACUAAUUACCCUACUAGAUUAAUCAAGGGUAAAGUUAGAAAGCUCCCCCUGGUUUCAUAAAAUAUCAUGGCCUUCCAAUGAGGUUAAUCAAAUAUCACUUGUCACACCUCAGGACUGGUAAUUUAUUUCCCAUCUUUGAAACAUCACCAAUUCAAAAUUCAUAAUGGUCCAUAAUCUGAUUAAACUGACACCAUUUGAGAAGAUUAAGGCAAUAACUUAGUUUAUAGAACUUUGAAGUUCACAAAGAACAAGGACAUUAGACACACUAACUUAAUAAAAGGGUGGAUAAGGAAAAACUAUAAACUAACCAAAUUUAUGGUGCUAAGAAGGGGAAAAGUUAUUUUCCCAAAUAUGGAAGAGGAUGUUUUAUAUGCAAAUUAUGUGUAUGAAUUGACAUGAAAAGGAGCCGAACAAAAAAUAGCACAACCCAAGUACAUAGAAUGUGUACAAGGUGCCAAAACCAGCUUAGCCCAUAUCCAAGCUAUCUACAACAUACAACAAGGAAAGAUCAAUCCUCACCAUCAAGUACUUGGAUGACAAAAAGAAAGAUUUGAGAGACAUAUAUUCAAAAUCAAAUCCAAAUUCUCUAAUCCUUUAAAAAAAUCUUCUAUUUUAUCCUUCUAGAUGGUUCAAAACAAACAUAAAGGACCUAUUGUAAAAAACCAGCUUGCACCGUUUUCUAACAAUUUUUCUAGGCUUACCAAGCAACAUGCAAAUUGACUACAUGGGAGAGGACCUAUAACUAAGACACCAUUUUCUCCUUUUCUCGUCAUUAUCAUGGAAGGUCUAGUUAAUACACUAUUAUUUAUGGCAAAAUCACGAGAUUUACCAGAAAGUUUCAAAGUAGGGGUUGAGAGAAAAUUAGAAUCUCUCACCUCCAAUUUGUAGAUGACUAUUUUUUCUUCUCAACCAUAACAGACCACUAUUUAUGAGACCAUACAUGACCCUUGAAAUAUUUAGGAUUGCCUUGGGGGGCUAACUAGAGAGCAUUGGAACUUUUGAACCAACUUGCAGAAAAAAAAAGAUUCAAGGCAUCCGGAUGGACGUAAAAAGGCUUACUUAUCUCUAGGGGGGAGAAUUGCACAAAUGGAAUCUUAUUUAGAUAAUAGAUCCACCUAAUUCCUCACUAUUUUCAUGAUUCCAACAAAGAGUAAUUCUAGGAUAGAGGAGAUAUAGAGACUUUUGAGGUUUAGGGAGACGGAGAGGACCAAGGACUAGAUCAUUAGGUGGAGAUGGCAUGUAGACCUAAACUAAAAGGGGCUGGCACAAGGAGAUGGCAUGUAUCCUUCAAAUAUUGACCCUAAAUGUUUUUCUAUCCCUGUAAGUUGUAUCCGGAUUUCCAUCUAUUUAUGCUGUGUGAUGAACUGAUCCUGUCCAAUUGAUUAACACCGAAAACUUCAAAUUUGUUUGAAGAUGAAAAAUGAGAAGGUUUUGCUCCUGUUGAUCUUACCAUUAAUUCUUAGAAAUUGGAAAAUAAGUUGGAGGCUUUCCGUUCUCUCCCAUGAAUCUAUGUGAUUCAUUGUUAUCAAUUUAUGUUUGUGCUUUAUGGGGACUCAACUCAUCAAAAUUCCCUCUGAUCAGUUGUCAAUCUAGUCUAAUUCCACAAAUCUGGUUUCCUUUCAUGAAAUCUCUUCAUGGCCUGAUUUGAAUUUGCUAAGGUGGAAAUUGAAGAUAAAGAAGAAAUUAAAGUGAAAGGGCAAUAUGCAAGGGACUGUCUCUGACAGGCUGCCUAUAAACCCAAAGCAAGUAAUCCAAUUGGCAGUGAGUGACUUGAAGUUGAUCCUUGAGUUUUCAGGUUCAAGUGUACAGAGGUAUGAGUUCCCAGCCCAAACCUGUUUGAGACCAUUGCAUUUCCCAUCUAUUUCAUUUUUAGAUGGUAGCUAAGUUAGGUUUGCUGUUACUUUUUAAGUCCAAUGGUUGAACAAGUUUUCAGAUCUGUAAAAGGGAGAAACACUUUCCUCAAGGACCAACAUUUUUUAAAUUGAUCAAACAAAGUGGGUUUAUUUGCACACAUAUUGCAACAAAAGCAUGGAACUUGUCCGUAUGCAAGUUGAUGAGAUCAGUUUGAAGGGAAGUGUUCGCAGAGAGUUACAUAAUAACGAGAAUUCCGGGAGAUACACCCAAAUCAACCCCUAUCUCCCCCCAUUCACUCUCACAUGAGUCUUCUUGACUUGAGAAGAAAACCUAAAGCAUCAUGUCCAGUUUUGAAUCCUCAAGGUUUCACUAAAAUACAGGUCCCCAGAGCAACCCCAUAGAUUCAACCCACAUUCAAUCAUUCAUACUGGAAAAAUGAUUAGCUGCUGUAGUGGCAAACCAAUCAAAUGCUACAGAAAAAUAUUUUGAAAGUCACAACCAUCUCCCACUUCAUCAGUCAACUGACCCUCUUAGAACCAGUGAUACUUUAGUGCACAAAACUUCAUGUGCUUGAGAAGACUCCUGUGAGUCCCUGGUUCUUCUUCCUCUAGCGGAGUGUUUCUUUGAUGAUGGAACUUCAUGUGCUUCCAUUCCCUCAUGCUCUUCCUUUUCUGGUCUGAGGGGAACUAGGCGGGAUUAACGGAGGUCGAGGAGGGUGUUCUUCUGCAGGAGACUAUGGAUCAGGCUAAGAUUUUGGGCGUGGCUGCUGGAUGAUUCUACUGGAUUGUGAUGCUUUGAACUUUCAAGCUGGUAUGGCCAAGCAAGUGAGUGGGGCACUGAAGCUUUUUCAGGGGCAAGGCAGGGUGGGUGAGUUGACUCCUGAUGAUUCCAAGGGACUUGCCUGUACUGAUCAACCUCUUCUUAGAUCUGUUUGUGUUUGUUAUGGGAACAAUGCCCUACCUGGUUCAACAGGAAGUUUUUGUUGUCCUGUAAGUAUGUGGGAGUGUCUGGGAAGGGUUAUGAGGACGGUGCUUUCAGAACUUUGAUGAAGAUUGGGGAGAUGGGGGAGGCUAGUCAACGAAACGCCUCGAUAUUGAAAAGGAAGGGUGCAAUUAUUAGCUCAUAAAAGCAUAGAAAGCUUCAAAAGCAGUUCAGCUCAGUAGGUUAUGCGGAGUGAACAGGAAUGAGGAUGUAGCGGCUAAUUGAUCCUUAGAUGAGGUUGUUCAAUGAAGAUUGAAAUUUUUUCAUCUAAUGUCAAGGUCUCGAUGAUUUUGAUAGAAGGCAGGUGAUCAAGCAUUUGUUGGUUCUCCAAAGCUUAUUUGAAGUGAGUAUAGGAGACGGAGACAGAAGCUAUGUCUUUCAAGGUUUUAGGAGUUUAGGGGUGGACCACCGUUUUGGAAUUGUGGGCUCUUGAUGAUAGGGUGCUGGUGAUGGUGUGCCAGUGUUUUGACACACUAAAAUCUUUAAGUGUUUGGAGAUGGAAGAGAGGGCUUUUUCUGUUUCUUGUAAAUGCAUGUUCCUUAGGGUGUAUGGUUUGGUGGCUGGGGAAGAAAAGAAGGAGAUAUGGGAGCAGUUGGGAGUUGUUCGAGAAUUACAGGAGUGUUGGUGUAUUGGAGGAGAUUUCAAUAACAUUCACUUUUCCAGUUGAAUGAAAGAAUCCUAGCCAGCUUUUAAGUUGCUGGAUAUCCCAUUGCAUAGAGUGCUUUUACUUGGUGUUGUGGUCAUGGCCAAGUUGGACUUUCCUCAUCCUGCUGGAUCAGUUUCUUUUUGCAGGGGACUGGAAAGAGCAUUUCUCAAAAGUGAUGCAAGCUACCUUCCAAAGCCUGUAUCUGAUCACAACCCUGUUCUUCUGGCCUGCAAAGGUGCCCGGGGAAAAUUAUGUGGCCCUCGGGUACCCCCAGCUACAUCCUAGCAAGGAAGUUCAAAGCCUUAAAAGAGGGUAUGCUGUGUUUGAAUAAAAAAGUUUAGAGAUGCUCUGGGGCCAAAUAUCUUGCCUUAGAACAGAUUAGGUUCUGGGACAGUAAAGACUAAAGAGAAGGAUCAUGCUCUGUAAGUAGAGGUUGAGAUUUGGUCUUGGAUGAAUUUAAUAAGUUGGCAAUUAUGGAAGAAACCUUUUGGAGAUAAACAUCGAGGGUCCUAUAGCUUAAAUAAGGGGAUAGAAAUACAAAGUUUUCCCAUAGGGGAUGACUUCAUUAGGAAAUUGAGGAUGAUUUCUCUGUUGUUGCCUCUUGGAUUAAGAAAGGUAGUAGGUGUCCUUAGAAUUGUCGUUAUAGGAGGUAUAUUUAAAUCACUCACAGAGGCUCAAGUUGGCACUUGGUUGAGGACCACAACUUAAUGACAUGCUAAGUGAUGGAUUUGACCGUGGAGGCGCUUAAGGGAGUCUACAUCCCAACUUGAGAUGGCAACUUCUGGAGUGUUGCUGUCCUGGGUGCCAUGGUCUAAUUUUGCUUGAGUUAUACUCUUCUUUUUUUUUUUCUUAUUUCUUUUUUGUGGCAUCGUUUAGAAGGAACCCCUUUUUUUUUUUUUGAUAAGUAAAAGAUAUGCAUUAAAAAAGGCAAAACGCCGCACAGCAUACAGGAAGUAUACAAGGCAACUUAGGCCUCAAAAAACAAAACAAAGAAUCACCUCCCUUUAGGUGGAGGCUAUCCAUUCUAAAAAGCCUAUAAGGGAGAACGCCUCCUCACCUANNNNNNNNNNNNNNNNNNNNNNNNNNNNNNNNNNNNNNNNNNNNNNNNNNNNNNNNNNNNNNNNNNNNNNNNNNNNNNNNNNNNNNNNNNNNNNNNNNNNAAAACCCUAAAGGGAAGAACCCCCCUUCCCCUAAAUAAAUUUGGCCCAACCUCCCAAAGUUAAAAAAAAAAAAUUUUUUAAUUUUUGAAAUUUUAAACCCCCCCCCCCCCCCACCCCCCCUAAAAGCUAAUCUAUUCCUCUCCUUCCAUACCGUCCAAAAAAUACACAACGGAAUGGCAUCCCAUAUCUUUUUCCUUUUCUUUCCCACAAACGAACCCCUCCAACUAGCUAAGACCUCCUUUACAGUUCCUGGAAAGACCCAUUUCACAUCAACUAAACCAAAGACAAUAUCCCAUAAGGCUCUAACCACUGUACAAUAUAUAAGGAUAUGAUUUACACUUUCUUCUUCACAUUCACACAAGAAACAACGAUUUGGAAGUUGAAAACCUCUUCUUUGCAGACUAUCCAAAGUUAACACCUUCCCCCAUGACGCCUCCCAUGCAAAAAAAGCAACUUUAGUUGGUACUCUUGCCACCCAAAUGCUUUUAUAAGGAAAUCUCAUAUCAUCCGCUUUUGUCAACAAACUGUAAGCUUCCUUAACCCUAAACUGACCGCUUCUUCCUUUUCUCCAAAGAACUGAAUCUUCCUCCAAGGAAGGUUUAAAACCCCUCAAUAUGUGGAGAAACUCCCCAACCAACUCAAUCUCCCAAUCAUUGAAGUCCCUCAAAAAGUGUAGGUUCCAGUUUCCUUGACCCGAAUUUUGAUCCCUCAUUUCCUCAACCGUCAAAUUCUGAUGCGCAGCCAUACCAAAGAGAUGAGGGAAACAUUGAGACAAUGGAGAUUCUGAGCACCACACAUCUGUCCAAAAGCCUAUCAUGUUGCCCUUUCCUACUCGGAAUGUCAUGUUAUCCCAACACCAAUCUGAUUCUUUCCAAAUCUCCUUCCAAACCCCUACACCAACCGCCCCAUUUGCCUUUUUGGGCCUCCAAUCAAGACCCUCUUGCCCAUACUUCACCUUAAUCACUUGUCUCCACAAAUUAUUUUUGUCACAGGCAUACCUCCAUAUCCACUUGCCAAGUAAAGCUUUGUUCAACAAAGCUAGCUUUCUAAGGCCUAGCCCUCCUUUAUCUUUGUCUGUACAAACCACCUCCCAUUUAACCAAAUGAACUUUCCUCUCCAUGUUUCCCCCUCCCCACAGAAAAUCCCUUUGCACUUUCUCCAUCCUUCUAACAACAACCUUGGGCAUUCUGAAAAUGGACAUUUGGUAGAUUGGCAUGCUAGCCAAGGUACUUUUUAUUAAGGUGACUCUUCCUCCUUUAGAAAUAUAUUGCCGUUUCCAAAGAGCUAGUCUCCUCCUCACUCUUUCCUCCACCCCAUCCCAUAUAUAAGGCGCUCUAUUUGGGGCCCCCAAAGGAAGACCCAAGUACUGAGAAGGUAAAGUCCCCACCCUACAGCCUAGCUCAACAGCCAAUUCCUCCACCUCCUCCACCUCACCAACUGGAAUGAUUUCACUCUUGGCUAAGUUAAUUCUUAGGCCUAAAGCCGCUUCAAACCAGAAUAAAAUCCAACCCAAGUAAGUUAGAUGAUCCUUUCUAGCCUCACAGAAGAUAAUUGUGUCAUCAACAAAAAACAAGUGAGAGAUGUUCAAAGAGGGGCCACUUCCACCCCUUAUGUUGCAUCCUGAUAAGAACCCCCCCUCCACAGCUCUCCUGAUAAGCACAUCUAGCACUUCCAUCCCCAUGAUGAGAGGUAAGGGGACAGCGGAUCCCCUUGUCUAAGGCCUUUAGUGCUAGGGAAGAAACCUGCAGGCACUCCAUUAACCAACACUGAAAAUUUAGCUGACGAUAGGCAACUCCACAUCCACCCCACCCAUUUAGACCCGAAGCCCAUCUUUUGUAACACCUUCACCAAGAACUUCCAAUUGAUGCUGUCAUAGGCUUUCUCUGUAUCCAACUUGCAUAUAAUGCCCUUUUCCUUUUGUUUCUACCACGUGUCUAUCACUUCAUUUGCAAUUAAAGAAGCAUCAAGGAUUUGUCUUCCCUUCACAAAGGCAUUCUGAGAAGUGGACACCACCUUACCAACUACCUUCUUCAUUCUAUUAGCUAGCACUUUAGCCAAUAACUUGUAAAGCCCCCCCAAAGACUAAUCGGUCUGAAGUCUCUAAGAUCCUCAGCCCCACUUUUCUUGGGGAUCAGCACCAAGAAGGUAUUGUUGAGGCUCUUGAGGAAAGAACUAUGGACAUAGAAGUCUUUGAACAUUUCCAAAAUCUCCUCUUUAAUGAACUCCCAACAACUUUGCCAGAAUGCCAUUGUAAAGCCGUCCGGACCAGGGGCUUUAUCCCCAUUCAUCUCCAUCAGAGCCACAUAGAUUUCAUCCUCUGUAAAGGGCCUCUCCAAGGACUCAGCCUCUUGUUGGCUGAUCUGGUCUAACUGAAGGCCCCCUAUGUCCGCCUUCCACCCCAUAUCUUCUGAAAGCAAGCUUUGAAACUCGCUAGCAAUUCCGUCCCUGAUUUCCUGCUCCUCUAUCAGCCACUCCCCAUUGAUCUUUAUUCUCUCCAAAUAAUUAUUUCUACGGUGAGCGCUUGCCAUACGAUGAAAAAGCCCGUAUUUUCUAUCCCCCUCCNNNNNNNNNNNNNNNNNNNNNNNNNNNNNNNNNNNNNNNNNNNNNNNNNNNNNNNNNNNNNNNNNNNNNNNNNNNNNNNNNNNNNNNNNNNNNNNNNNNNNNNNNNNNNNNNNNNNNNNNNNNNNNNNNNNNNNNNNNNNNNNNNNNNNNNNNNNNNNNNNNNNNNNNNNNNNNNNNNNNNNNNNNNNNNNNNAUUGUUUUGUCCCCCAUUCCAAGUAAAUUCUCCCCCUUGAAGGGGGAGAUCCAUCAGCCCAAGAUCAUCCACUAUUUCCGCAAAUUUCCUCAUUGCUGAAUUCAUUCUCCUCUGGCUACUCCUCUCCCUCGGAAACAAAGUUAUGUUAAAAUCCCCCCCUAUACACCAAGGGUCUUCCCACAGCCCUCUAAUCGCCCCCAACUCAUCCCAUAAAGCCUCCCUUUCCACCUUGGAGAACAGACCGUACACUCCCGUAAAAAUCCAUAUCGCCCCAUUUUCUACAUUCCGGAAUCUACAAGAUAAAGUAAACUGGCCCUCUUCCCAAUCUAGAAUCUCCAGAGAUCUUUUAUCCCAGCAUAUCAGAAUCCCUCCCGAGGCUCCUUCCGCAUUCACAGCUUUCCACUCUAGAAAUCUUCCGAAACCUAUGCUUCUCACAAUGUUAUCCGACAUAGCUUGAAUUUUAGUCUCCUGAAUACAGAUUACGUCCACCCUCUGAUUCCUUAUAAACGUCUUAAUUACUUUUCUUUUAGAGCUAUCAUUUGCUCCCCUCACAUUCCAGCUCAGAAUUUUCAUCUUCAUUGGACAAUCACAAUCUGGCGCCCUUUGCCCUGUAUCGAGCCCUUCUGUUUAAUUCCCCCCUCAUAAUUAAUGGAGCAUUCCAGUCUUUUUAACUCCCUUUCAAACUUAGAUUUUUCCAAUAGCUCUUUACUAUGGAUUUUCUCCCUUCUCUUUCUGAUUUGAGACAAAAAAUUCAGGAUUUCCUUCUCCAAUCCCUCCGUGGGAAAUCCCAGGAAUUGACUGAAUUUCGCCAAAUCACUCUCCUCCCAUUUAUCCUCCUGCAUUCCUCUCUCUGUUCGGGUAUCAUAUAUGGCACCGACCCCAGGCAUCCCCCUUCCCUUAUCACUGCUGCUUUCAUUUGCUCCCACCUCCCUGCAUCCAUUGCUCCUUUCAAUACAGCCCUCAUAUACCGUUAGCCACAUUGUAUUGUCAGCCCGACCUUCCUCAUUCCAAUCCCCAGAAUGAUCGAAAGACUCCCCUCCCGGAGUCCGAUCAAAAUUAAAAGAAUUGAGAUGAGAGAUCCCCAAAACCCUUUUCCCCCAAGAACACAACCCCCUUCCAUACCUCAUUGACUCCUCUUCAAGCGCCUUAUCCGUCUCUGAUAUCCUAGCCACACCAUUUAACUUCCUCAUGUCCUCAGUCUCCCACACAACAAAAGGCUCUGGCGCAUGAGACUUACCUGGAUCAAGCCCCGUCAACAGUAAGUCCUUCUGCUGAAGAAUAUUGUGGUCUUGGCCUGCUGAUGGAGAAGAUGGGCCCUCCCUUGUGUUUACACCUAUAACAGGCUGUUGCCCAUAUCCCUUUGCAUUUGGGCCUUUGUUUGAUGGCAAGACUGGGCCUAUAAUGGAACAGCCCACCUCAUCAGACCUACGCGACGGGCCUGCUUCUGGACUUGCAGCCACCCCUUUCAUUUUUAAGCCCAUUACUCCACUCUUCAGCCCAGGCCCACCGACCCCUCUUAACCCCUUCAUCCUACAGAAAACUUCCUUUUUUAUCUAGACUACUUUAUGUGCACUAUGCUUGGCAAACAUACUGCUUAAAUCAUUAGAAUUUGCAAAGAGAUCUAAGUAAUCAAGCUUCUCCAAGCUGCAAACACCUCAUACAAAAUAGAAGGCAUAAAAACGCAUAAAUCAUAAGGAGCAUGAUGGGGAAAAAUGAUGUCAAAAUUUUGAAUGAAUAGAUUGCAUAAACUCUGUUCUAGACACACAACUCAGCAGGCAAUUGAUCUUUAACAGAGAGAUGAAAAAGCCUUUUAAUCUACUUUCAUUUCAGAAAAUAAGAAGCAGAACACUUACAGUCUGCGGAAUUGCUCUUCCACUGGCUUGGCUCGCGAGAACUGCUGAAUCUUUGAACCUUGAUAUUCAAAAUCUCGAGCAGUGGGUCGUGGUGUCUGUCAGAUUUGGAAUUACAUAUAGAAAAGCACAAGUUUAUUUUGACAUAGCACAUAACUUACUAGAGCAGCAGUGUACAAGAGGAGGCCGGAAACAUGUAAAGAAGAAAAUAAUAACUGCCUAGAGUAUACAAUUCAGACACUUUGAGAAAAAAACUACUCCUACAAUCCUUUUACCACCUUGCUGAGGUGAUAGUUGAUGAUUGGAAAAAGGAAAAAGAGAAUAUAUAUAUAUAGCAAGGUUUGAGGGUUGAGACAAACUUUCAAGUUUUUUCAAAAGCUCUUGAGGGUUGAGACAAGGAGACCCUUUGUCUCCUUAUUUGUUUAUCUUAGUGAUGGAGACCCUCUCUCACUUGCUUUCUAGGGCAAAGGAAGGUGAUUUUAUUGAGGGAUCCCCAAUCAAAAGAAGGGAUGAUGUGGGAGUGGAGGUCUCCCAUUUGUUCUUUGCAGAUGAUACUCUCAUAUUUUAUGAUGCUAGCAAGGAAAAUCUUGAGCACCUAAAUUGAGUCUUUAUGUGGUUUGAGGCGUGUUCAGGGCUAAAGAUUAAUUUGGAGAAAAGUGAAUUGAUUUCAGUUAGGGAUGUCCAAAAUUUAAAGGAGCUUGCCAAGGUUUUAGGUAGCAAGGUGGGUACCCUACCAACCACCUACUUAGGCCUUCCUUUAGGUGCUCCUUACAAGUCUAUUAGGGUUUUAGGAAUGAGUUGAAAAGCGGUUCCAAAAAAGGUUUGCUUUGUGAAAGAGGCAAUAUCUUUCAAAAGGUGGAAGACAAACUUUGAAUAAGAGCAUUUUAUCUAGCUUACCCAUUUACUGCAUGUCCCUCUUUAUUAUCCCUAAAAGAGUGGUGUAUAGAUUGGAAACAAUUCAAAAGGACUUCCUUUGGAGAGGAGGGACUAUGGUUAACAAGCCUCAUCUGGUAAAUUGGUAGGUGGUUUGCUUGGAAAAACAAAAAAAAGGGGUUUGGGUUUUAGAAACCUUUCAAUUCUCAACAAGGCACUUCUAGGGAAAUGAUCUUAGAGAUUUGAGAGGGAAAUGAAUCCUCUUUGGAAAAAGGUGAUUGUUGCAAGUAUGGGCUAGAGGAGGGGGGUUGGUGCUCAAAAGAGGUGGGAGAGAGACAUGGAGUGGGGGUUCGCAAGGCAACCAGAAAUGGAUGGGAGGCUUUCAAAGAUGAACUAAUCUUCAAGUUGGCUUAAGGAACCGAGUGAAGUUCUGGAAUGAUAGGUGGUACGCAGAUUUGUCUUUGAGGGAUUCCUUCCCAAACCUUUAUUCUAUAGCCUCUUCUAAAGAUGUUUAGGUGGUUAAUGUUUGGGAUGGGAAUAGUUGGGGUCCGAGGUUUAGUAGACAAUUCAAUGACUAGGAGAGGGAGGAAGUAGAUGCCUUUUUUGGGAGGUUGCAUGACCAAUCCACCUCUUUGGGUACUGAUGAUGUUAUGGUUUGGAUGGAGACAAAAAACGAUGAUUUUUCAGUUAAAUCCUUCUACUCUUCCUUGGCAAGUAGGAGAGUGGAGUCUUUCCCUCAUAGUAUAGUUUGGAACUCCUGGGCUCUUAUAAGAACUAACUUUUUUGCUUAGAAAGCAACUUCGGCUAAGAUUUUGACUUAGAAAGAAGGGAUGGAAGAUGUUUAAUAGAUGCUAUUUAUGCAAAGUAGAAAAAGAAACGGGUGACUCUAUUCUCCUGCACUGUCCGAAAGCUUGCAUGUUGUGACAGUUGAUUUUUGCUUUAUUUGAUGUACAAUGGGUGAUGCACUCUUCUAUGAGAGGGGUGCUCUUCAGUUGGGGAGACUCUUUAGUUGGCAAAAAAAGCAAAAAGGCUUGGAAAGUUGCUCCUUUAUACCUUUUUUGGUCCAUUUGGAGGGAGAGAAAUAGGAGAGCUUUUGAGAAUUGUGAAAGUUUGGACGAAACAAUUAAAAGUUCUUUUUUGUAUCUAUUUUGGGAUUGGAUUAGAUUGCACAUUAGGGAUGAGUCUAUGUCAUUGUUAGAUUUUGUGGAUUGGUUAGGUUCCCCAUAGGAUGCGAUUGCUUAUUUUUAUGUAUUCACCCCUUUUGGUUCUUGUCGUUUUGUAUACAUCGUGUAUACUUUUUUAAUACAAUAUCCUUUUACCUAUCAACUACAUAUGUAUAUAUAUAUAUAUAUAUAGCAAGGUGGUAAAAUAGGUCUCAAAGAGAAGUGGGAAGAGAAGCAUUUUCCACCAACAGUAUGCUUAUGGCUCUACAGCCCAGUCAACAACCUAGAAAAUAAUAAUCACAAAUGACUAGCAACUUCCCAAUGAUAUGAUGACACAUUAACUGUACCUUUGUCAUCUCAUGUUUCGUCAAAGUUUGUUUCCUAACAUGAGGCCAUUCCAGUGAGGAAUCAGCACCCCAUCUGUUUACUUGAUAUGUAUGUUUCUGGUUCAAUUCAUCAAUCUUCUGUCGCACAGCUGGCUUCAAUUCCUCCAACUCACACAGGGCUCUCAAUAAGUUCUAUCACAAUUUUACAGAAAGUAUAUCACCCUAUUUAGACAUGAAAUAAGAACUUGUUUUUAUAGUAAAGCAUACUCGACAAAAGCUGAUAUUACCUUCUUCAAAUAAUUCUUUUUGCUUUGUAGAGAUGCCUUAUAAUCACGAUGGCAUGGUAUAGUCUCAGAAGUUAAACUGAAAAAAAAGAACAGAAUUAGAUGACACUUCAGGAAAAGAAUAGAAGAUACUACAUGAAGUUAAUCCUACCAUGCCCAUAAACUGAGCUGGUUGUACAUUUUAUAAACCAGCUACAAACUCUAUAUCUAGUUAAAACAAAGAAUUUAUGAGCUGGUUUUGCAUUUUAUAAACCAGCGACAAACUCUAUCUCUAGUUUAAACAAGAGUUUAUAUAAUCUGAUUCUCUUUUCUCACCUUGAAAACCUUAGAAGCAUAAUAUAGAGAUCUAUAAUGUUCUUCUCUUCUCGAAAUAUGUCAGCCUACAAUGUCAGGGUUAAAAAUUAGGAGCUAAAAAACCAUUUUAUUAACAAGAAGCUCGAGAGGAAAAGGAAAACUAGCAAUAAUAAUAUUAGUAAUGUAGAAAGAAGUUACUUCAAACAGGGAAUGUGGAAAACAGAUUGAAGGAACAACAAAAAAUUAAUACCACAAUCAUCAAGAGAGAAGGAACAGAAAAAUAGACAUUCACAAAUGCUCCUAUUUCAAUGUUUUAGGUGUUCAUGAUAAGGAAGUGCUUUUAGAUGUGAUUUAGGUAACCCAGGUCAUUCAAGUUAAAUUUCAAGUAUGAACCUCUCCACCUUGGGUUCCACUUUCAGUGGAUUUAUUCAAGUUUCAAUGAAUGCGUUUUACGUAACCUAGGUCAGCUAGGGAUUGGAAGGGUGAUCAGACACCAUAGUGUUUCAGUGGUGAGGGUUUUCUUAAACCAGCAGGAGAGGAUUUAGGCAUCCAGACAGAGAUUUUAGUCCUUUUAGAAAACUUUCUACAGUCAGGGCUCAUUGCCUUUCUAACUUAUAGGUGGAAGAGGAUUCUACUAUUUUGAUAUUUUAGGUGUCUAUCACAGGGAAGGCCUGCCCUUGAGGCCUGCCUCAAGUGCUAAGGAAUUGGAUGGGAUUGUGGGAGGUACUAGGUCCAAGUCCUAGUGAGGACCAAAAAAAUAAAAAUCAAACAGAGGGCCUUGGAGGUAUGAUGGGUGGCUGCAUCAAAUUCUAGAUGUUGCUUGUGACUCGGGCUGUUCUUUUUGACAGUCUCCUCAUUCAGCUAAUAAUAUCACUGACCUUUUGUAAGGGACUGUUUUACCCCCCUUGAGGAAUGUAGAGACACUCUACCUUAUACAAGUUCAUGCAGUGCUGUUUUGAUGUGUAGCUUUCCUCUUAUUCCAAUUGGAGAAGUUCUCUAGGUUUCUUCUUUUAAUCAACUUUGGUAUAUUUUGGAAGGAUUUCUCAUCCUUCAUCAGAACUUAAAAAUCCAUAUUAAUGAAUUAGUCUGUUUCUGAUAAAUAAAUAAAAAAUAGAAAUGUUAAGUAUCCAACCUAUAUAAUGCCGAAUACCCCAUUUUUAUAGGGAAAAAAGUAGGGAAAAAAGGGCCAUUCAACAUUGCUUUGGUUGUAUAAUUUGUUAAUAUGACCACUGAGAUGCCUAAUAAAAUGUUCAGUACCCCAUAAUUUGAGAUUCCUGAUAAGAACCUUACAGCAGCAAGGAUCAAAAAGUAAUCUCUACUGUGCAAGGCCCAUAUAGUGUUCUCCAAACAAAAAUACAAUAGGAAGAAUCAUUUGAUACAAAGCGUGUAGUGCAGAAGUAAAAUCAUGGCAUGCAUUUUUUUCAAGUAUUAAGACAUGUUCACACCAUUUGAUACAAAACGAAAAGCACAAAGUGAAAAAAUUUCUUGUUUCUGUCCCUUUUAAGUCACAAUGGUCCUUGACUUCUAUCUGAUUUCCUCCAACAUAAGUAGAUGAUUAAAUUCAUCCUUAAUCUCCCUCUAAUUAUCCUUUCUCCACCUCUGGCCAAGGUCUUUCCGUCUCCCUGUUGUUCCAAAAGCUAAUCUUGUUCCAAGCCAUUUCUUUCUAAAAGGAUACAUUACCAAAAAUCUCCUUGUUAUACCACUUUAAGUCUUCCUUCAAAGCUAUUAACCUUUUCACAAGCACAUACAUGGAAGUGCUUGCCAUGACUUUACCAAGUCUCCAAAACCCUCUACUUUCAACCACAAAUUCUCAAAUCUAAAAGGAAUUUUUCUUUUCCUAGUCCCACCGCAUUAUACCCAAAUGGGCAAGCACUAGUCUUGGGAACAAGAUUUGAGAAACAAAUGAGAAAUGUCCCUCCCAAUCACCUCUACAAAGAAAAUGAUCCAAACGAGACAAACAAAGGCCACCUUUCCCUCCACACGAAGUAAAAAUACCGGAGGACAUACUAGCUCAAUUUCUCAAUUGUGAAACCAAGGUUUGGUUAAUCUCAAUUUUGAUGAUAAUAAAACAAGGUUUGGAAUUAAUGUUUCAUCUUGAGUUUGACUAGGCAAAAUGAUUUCCAAAGUGGCAAUUACAAAAACAAAUCAAGUCAAAAGAAAACCAAGAAAAAGAAGACCACCUCAAAUAGAAGAGCUUUCAAGAUUUUGAGUAAGAUCAUUUUGUAAGGUUAUUGGUACAAUAGGAUCAUGCAUCUUAUUUUUAUUCAAACACCUAAAAUCAUCUAAAAGUUGAAUUGCCUUAAAAUCCUUUAUAUUUGAAUGAUUUCAUGUUUUCAAUUAAAACAUUUCUAAACUUCUCUAAAGAGUUUUUAAGAAAUGUUGCACAAGUUUCUAGAGGUUUCAAAGCUCAAAACCAGAUUAUUUGAACACUUCACAAUGCAACCGGUCAUAGGGCCAAGGAACUGGUUGAGCCAAUUGGGCUUGACUAGGUGAGAUGCAUUUUGCACCAUUUUUCUUCCAUCUAGUGCUCAACCAAUUGAGCUUUUGGCUUGUCCGAUCAAGAACCGACCAAGGGUCAGUUGAGCCUCAAAAAGCCCAAGAUCACCUACAAAGCAUUUAUUGCCCAACAACUAGUGAACCCGUUGCUCAACCAAUCGACCCCUUAACUUGCCUAACAAUUGGUUUGGGCUUCCAAACUUUAAAAAGCAACUUCAAUCUUCAUUGUUUUAUAAAGCUUAAUAUCCCAAAAUCUAUUUCAAAUAUAUUUGAGCCUUAGGGAAAAGUUGUUUAGUGCACUUUAAUUCAAAACUUACAUAUCCUUUUUUUUUUUUUAAUAGGUAAAUUUUUUGUCUCCAUUGUGACUUCAACUUGAAACCUCCCAUAAACCCUCCCCAUCCCUUUACCACUUGAGUCAGGCCUCAAGGACAAAACUUGCAUAUCCAUUUAGUGCACAUCAAUCCUAGUUUAUCUUACAUCCAUCUGAACUUAAAUUUGUACUAAGAUUUUGAGAGUUUAAUUCUCAAUCAUUUCUUGUAACCUUUAUGAGGUAAGCUCGAGUAUGGGGUAUCACUUAAGAGAAAAAUCUAAGUGUCAGGUAUCACUUAGUAUUUGCUAAGUGUGGGGUAUCACUUAGGGAGUUCAAGAGUGAAGCAUCUCGUACAGAAUUUUGUAGCACCAAUUGAAGUCGAUGAAUCCAAUUAUAAAGCUUAAAGGCUUGUAUUAGAAGUCUUGAUAUAGUGGAACCUCAAACUUGGGAUUGAAGAUGGAGGAGAGUGGGUGUAGGUCGGAUUGUGCCGAACCACUAUAAAAUCUUGUGUUCACAUUCUCUCUUCCCUACUCUCUUUACUUUAUAUGCAAUUGUUUUUCCAUUAUGUUUAUUAUAUAUUUGCAUAUGGUUGUUCCUUCCCCCCACUCCCUUUUCUUUCUAGGGUGAAUAUUUUUUAUUGAUCUAGCUAAUAUCCUAACAUCAAUGAACUCUAAAAGGGCUUUGAUGGUAGAAGAAAACAUACUACAAUUGUUUUUCAAUUGGAAGUAAAUCACAUUAACGUCACCACCUAAGCACUAAGGAUCUUUCUGAAGCCCUCUGCUGGUGUCAAACUCCUCCCACAUCUCUCUUCUUUCCAUGUCUAAGGGUGGGCCAUAGAUCCCUAAAAAAAUCAAUAUAAAGUCAUUCUCAUAGUUCUUGAAUCUAUAAGAUAAGGAAUAAGCCCCCAACUCCAUUUCCAAACAAUCUAAUACUCUUUCAUCCUAGAUCAACAAACCCUCUACCUUCAAGAAAACCCUAACCUAAACUCUGACCUACCCCUAAGCUAUUGCGUAUCCGAAAGGACAUAGAGUUGAUCUUUGUCUCUUGAAAGCAAAUCAAGUCAUCUUGAUCAUGCAAGCCUCUAUGUUCCAAGAGAGAAUGUGAAGCUUAAUUUGGAAACAUACCUUUUUCAAAGACCAAACAUCCAUUACGCCUUCUACUUCAUUCCCACCACAGUUAAUGGAAUUGAAUAAUUUCCUAUAUUCCCUUAAACUAGUACCACUACUCACUAAUAAAAAAUUAAAAAAAAAAAAAACACUAGUGCCACUACUCACCUUUUAAACGAAUUAUAUAUUUAAAACCACCUUGCUUCUCAAUUUCCAUUUUUUUUUUUUUAUAAGUAAACGCACAAAAAAAAAAGGUAUAUAUAUAUAUAUAUAUAUAUUAGAAUAAAAGGCGCCUUAAGGUUGACCCAAAGCAUAUAGGGGAUAUACAAGAGGCACCAAAAAGCAAGAACAAAAAAAAGAGGGGAUACAAAAAAUCACUAGCCCUCAUCUAGAACCCAACCAAUCAAAAAAGUUGAUUAAAGGAAUUUUCAUUAAAACGUUUAGUAUAUCAUUUUCACACCCUUCUACAGAGACUUCCACAUUUCUACAAAACCAAAGGAAUUUCUAACUCCCCCAUUAAGAAGGCUUCGCCCUUGUCUGCAUGUUACCUUGAACCACUACUAGUGGCAAUUUAAAGCCUACUAAGCCAUUUGAGCUAGAUAAGAGAGGAGCAUCCAAAUCAAACUCCUCCAAACCUCAAUGGUACUCAUUUCCAUCUUUCACAUUAUUAAAAUGAUCAUUAAAAAUGUGUUUGGCCUAGUUCAUGACAAUAUUAAUAUUCAAAAUUCUACUAUUUCAAUUUAAUGCUAAAAAUGACAAAAUAAAAUUCCUAUCUUUUUCAUAUAAUCAAUUUAUGAUAAAUUUAAUUCACCAUUUUUUAAAAAUUUCACAAUGAUUUAUGUUUUAACUUGGUUUUAAUGUGUAAGUAAUUGCUAAUUUUCUAACAUUAGUCUAGGCUAGAAACAACAAAGAAUUCAUAUCCUUUUCAUAUAAUCACUUUAUAUUGAAUUUAAUCAUGAUCCUUAUUUUAGCUUUGUUUUAACUUUUAAGAAAUUGUUAAUUAUGUAAUUGUUGAACAACCAAUUUUCCUAAAAGCUUAAACUUGUAGAAUUUAGGUUCACAAUGCAUUUUAAGCUCCUUAACAGUGACAUUGGUUUAAACUAAAAACUAACGAAUUCAAGUUUACACUACAAACAACUAAAUUACAUUUUAUAUAUUUUAAAUCUAUAUUAAACACUACCCAUACUCAUUUUCCAUUAUCUAUAAUAUGCCUUGAAUACCCAUUAUCCAUAUCCAUAACCCACAUCCAUUACUUACUUUCUAUUAAAAUAUAUGCUAUACUCAUUACCCAUAACCUAUUACCAAAUGCCAAAGACAUGUGCUACUAUGGAAAAUACUUACAACAUAUAAAUCAAGUAUUUUAUCAUCAAAUCAAAUUUGAAAAACGGAUUUUUUUCUACAAGGGGGAACCGAUGUAGCCCUAACACAUGAAGAUGGUUUUUUUCUUCUAAAUACUUCUUGUUAUUUUAGAUUUCCUAUCAUAUAGAUCUUCUAUUGUUUUAGCUUUCUUAUUUAUUUUUAUGUUUCUUUUAGAUAAUUAAGUCAAUUACAACUACAAAAAAAAUUCCUUUUUUUCUCUAGGAUUAUUAGGUUUAUAAAUACUUUAUGUUAGUUACAGUUUAGUGAGAUUUUUAUUACUUUUUAUCAAUAAAAAUAGUUUUUACAAUUUGAAGAUUCUAACAAAGGCGAUCUUCAUUAUUUUAUUUUUUUUGAUAGACAAAGACAUAAUGAAAAGGUGAUCUUCAUUAUUCAUUCUUGCUCUUAAUGUUUUAGGUGUUCUAAGAAAUCAACAAGACUUUAGAUAUAUAAAUCUUGGUAAUUUCAAUAAGAAAAUCAACAAACUCUGGAAUAUGACACUUUUCGUCUUUUUUUAUUAGAAACACAACAUUUUCAUUGAAAUGGAUUAAGAGUACGAAAAAAGGAUGACAAAUCCUUCCAACAAUUGCAAAAUCUAAUCAAAACUGAGGUCAAGAUGCCUUCUCCAAAAAUACAUUGCCAAUGAUCCUCUCUUUGCUAAUUUUACCCUUUUGAUAUUGAAAAUCAAUUGUAUUAUUUGCUUAUCAAAAAAUGAUCUCUUAAACAAUUUUCGCUUGAAAGGUUGUAAACUGAUCCAAAAUAGAUGGUUCUAAAGAUAUUCAAUGGCUAGUUGAUACCAUAUUUAAUGCACCCAAAAGAUUACUUGAUUGGCCUGCUAAAAUACGAUCAAAACAAACUGCAACACUCAUAUCUUUGUAUAAAAAAUAGACCUAGCUACUUGAUCUGCACUAAAACCCAUUGAUUCAUUAUAAUGGGUAACCUCCAAUGCAUAUGGUAAAACCUAGACCAUUCCCAACCAGGUGAUCAAUGAAGGCAAAGAUCUCUAGUGCCCGAAGUAGAAAAGGCCACCAGACCCAUCUGUUUCAGCUAUACAACUGACCCAUCCCCACCAUCUCCACGGAUAAGCAAGACCAAAACUCAAUUGAUACCACAAAAACCUAACACCUAUUACAACCUUUUGCCAAAGGCUAGGCAACUGAAGGCAACAUUGGCCAGUAGCUAGGGCAUCAACAGCUAGAACCUCUGGUAAUGCUUCUGAAAAGCUCCCUCUAGGAUUUUUAAGCUUCCAUGACCUUCGAAGAGCCUUGAGCACACAAUAACCAAGCUUGACCAAGUCUAUAAUGGAGAUGUAAUCAACACGAACCACAUUAUGCAAAAAAAUUACAUCACUCAUAAAAUUGUCAAUACAAGAAGACAUAAGGCACCUUGCCUUGAAGCCCUUGGCACAAUGUGCCCUCAGGUGGAAGAAAAUAGGCUCUUCUAUCUGCCAACAUACUCAACUCAAAUCAUCAAAUCAGCAAAGCCUUAAACCACACUCUGGAUUGAUCAAGCAAACUCUUCAUCCAAUUAGAAAUUCAGUACAAAUCCACAAAACCCAAUUUAUGAAGAGAAACCUUUGACUCUGCCCUUUCAAAACCCACCAAUAGCUCUACCUGACAAUUUUUUCUCAAAAAAUCUAAAAACUCGAAAUGAUUACAAAUUAAAAAGUACUUCACACAAGAUUCAAUGAUCACAUUUCUUUCUCCUCUUAUGCUUAAUUUCAUAAUCCCACGUCCAACCAAACAUUAAGAUCCCUUCUAAGAUACCAACAAAGUUAAUGCAUUGUUUGUUAAGCAUCUGCAUGUAACUCUUGCUUUCGACACCCAAAUUAAAGCGGAACCCUAAGUAAACAGUAACUUUUCCUCAACCAACAAUUCUACCCCAAUUAUGGAAAACAAAAAGACCCGCACAUCAUGAACAUUUUCGCGGCACGCCCUCAUGAGAAAUUAUUAAUCACCAAUCCAUUUCAUAAAAACGGAGAUAAAAAAUAAACCCCAAAAGAAAAGAAGAAGAUACAAGAGUGAAACCUGUUUGAGGAUAUUAUCAGCGAUACGGUAGUAGUAACGGAGGGAAAUCCGAUUAUCGACAUCGAGUUUCUGAGCACUGGCGGCGAUGUUGAUUCCUCCCGAAGAAGGCCGCAUCGUCGCAGUGACCUUUUAUUUUCUUUUCCUUCCUCUUGCUUUCUACAAAAACAACAUUUUUCCAGAUCGGAACGGAACCCUAACGCUCGGAUGCGGAAGCUUCAGGGAAGCGUCGUCAAUGGCGACUUGGGCUCGGAGUCGAGCGAGAAAGAGCGCGACGGAACAAGGUCAUUCCGAUUUGUAACGAGGGCAAAGAUGGAAAUAUGAAUGAUCCCAACAACAAAAGAGGCCUGUUUGGCUGCUGUGAAAACAAUUUUCACGGUACAGAAUUAUUUGAUUGGUUGGUGAACCCACAUCUCUAAGGAAAAGUGGAAAACAAUUUUGAAAAAUAAAAAUUAUAACUUUGAUUUGAUUUGAAACCAAUUUGAACUUUAUUAGACUAAAAUUAAUUUGAUUAGUCAUAAGUUUUUUAUGGUACUGUAAAAUUAUACCAAUUAUGUUAUUCAAAAAAUAAAUUGUUUGUAGUGAUGAAAUUUUAUUUAUUUUUAAUAAUUAAUUAUAAUAGUAACCAAUUAUCUCAAUUUUGACCUUUUUUAUUUAUUUCUUUUGUCAUUUCAAUUAAAAAAUAUUUUUUGUUAUAAAUCUAAUUUAAAUUUUAAAAGUUCAUGAGAAUCUAUAGAUAAUAAAAAGGAAUAUCAUUCAUAGUAAUAAACAUAAACAUCAUUUAUUAAUAUUUUUUAUUUAAUAUAAUUAGAUGAUACAAAAUUAUAAAUGUCAUAAAUCAAUAAGAAAAAAAUUAAUAUUUUAUAAGAAAUAGAUAAUUAUUUAAAUGUAGAAGUGUACAUGAAGAUAUAAAAAGUAAAAUUUAAAAAAAAAUAGAUUUAGUGGGCAUAUAAUAAACCAACUUAAUAACUUAAUUUAAGUUAUUAACUAAAUUAUGAGUGCGUUCGGUAGUGAUUUUAAAAAGUAUUUAUAACAUUUAUAACACUUUAAAAUUUUCAUCAUUUAAGUAUUAAAAAUAUUAAAAACACUUCCUAUAAUCAUGGUCAAACGCACUUUAAAUAUGUAUAGUAAUGAUAUGACUUAAAGUUAAAAACAAUUUUAAAUAAUAAGUAAAAAUAAUUAAUUUAUUAUUAAGUUCACAUUUUUAUUUUAUCUUGUUAUUCUCAUUUGUUACCUUUAUAAUAUUUUUUGUUAUUCCAUGACUUCCAUUGUUGUUUGAUUUUUUUUUCCUAGUUAUAAUUUAUGAUGAUAAAUAUAUCAAUUUUAUAAUUUUGAAUAAAUUUUAAAUUAUUUUUAUCAAACUUAAAAUAAAUUUUAAGUAAUAAUUUUUAAAUCAACUACCUGAGUAUAAUUUAGUUUAAAGUCAUUAAGUAAUAAGUAAUAAAUUUUGUCAGACACCCUUAAGAAAACAAAGGCUAUGUUUGAGUUUUUAAAAUCUUUUCAAUCACAACAAAUUUAAACAAAAUAUAAGCAAAGUAAAGAGAUAGAGUUUAGAGAAUUCAAACUCGGGUUUAUAGUGGUUCGGCACUUCCUUGCCUAUGCCCACUUUCCUCAACCUCCUAACCGAGUGAGGGUUUCACUAACUUGAAACUUCAACCAAGUUUCCAAUCUUCUUACACUUGGAUUCCGCCUUCAAUGGACUCUUACACAACCUCUUCAAGAUUCAACCUUCUUAAAAGCUUUAACACUCAGAUUGUUACAAGUUAUAAUCACUCAACCUAACUUAAAGAUGACUCAAAUACAAGACAAAGUUAGGAUAACAAACAAGAGUGCACUAAAAGAUAUGCAAGUAGUGAUUUAAUGCACUAUGAAAGAAAUGAGAGCUUUUUGAUCAAGAACAGACAGGUAGGCUUUGAAUGCAAGUAUUCUCUUGUCAAUAAAUGAAGUGGAGCUCUCAAUUUAUAGGUUUCUAAGGUCAGGAGUCAAAAACAGCAAAAGGUAACCUCGUCCGGUCAAGUUAGGGGUCAACCGGUUCACUAGCCGUUGGAGCAUUUAAUGCAUGACAAGUUACCGUUGCCUCAACUGGACCUCGAUCGGGAAGAGAAGGCUACUAGGAGAGAGAGAAGGUUUUUGACAUUCCUUGACCGGUCCUCAACCGGACGACCACAACCGGUCGACCGAUUCCUCAAUCGAUUGACCGGUUGGCCAUAGCCUCGAUCGGUUGAGCCUUUUUGGCCCAAAAAACCUAUUUUUUUAUUCAUUUCUUUCCUACCACUUAAGCAAGGUCUUUAGGUAAAUUAUUAAGCCAAUUUUGAAACAUUUUGCCUAAUGUACAUUAGUUAAAAACUCGGGUUUUAAUGAAAUCGACAUUUUAAAUAAUAAACCGAGUUUUUAAAGAUGCAUGAAACGUAUGAAAAUCCUAAGUGCACUCAUGCAUUCAUCUUACAUUAGUUUCCUAUGAUCACAAGUCUUCCAAGCGUCUUGAUCUUGUAUUCAUUUGGUCAUUUGAUGAAUUUUUGAGUUUUAUACCUGAGAUUCUUAAACAUUAAACCAAUUAGUCACUUAACCAUUGUUUGUUAUCAUCAAAACCUGAUUAGGAGAACCCUUGAGCUAACAACCCUUAAUCACAAUAAAUGUAAUUUGAAGAAUUAGAAAUUUAUGUCUCUUAUAAAUGUAAGCAAAAUGGAUAAGAUAAAAAUAUCUACAAACAAUUUAUUCAAUACAAUUCGACCUACAUCUACUUUCAUUAAACUUCAACAUCAAAUCGAGAGUUUCAUUAUCUAUAUAAGUUUUUUACCAAGAUCUUAAACUUGUAUUAAACUCUUCAAUAGGUCCAUUGGUAAAUUUUGUAGCGUUGACGAAUGUUUUUUUUUUUUUUGUAUGUUAAUUCUUUUAAAUUAUGUUUAGUUAUCAAAAAGUACGAAGGAAAUAAAAAGAAUAUUAAGAAAAAUGAUUUUUUUAUGUUUGGUUAUUUUAUAAAAAAAAAUGAAAUAAAAUUAAAUAUAAUUAUAAAUUUAUUUAAUAUUUAUAUUGGUGUGUUAAAAUAAAUAAAAUGAAUUUGAAGUAACAAAUAAAUAUAAUUUAUCUAUUGUAACUUUUUUUUUUUUUUUUUUACUUUUUCUGCCUAUUUUUUUUCUUUUUCCACUUUCCAUCAAAAUUUUCAACAACCAGCAUUAUCUCAUUGCAUUUGAUUAGUGACUUGGAGGAUGACUUCUAUUUAUCAGUGAUGUCAUGCUCUUGGACUACAUUCAAUUAUGGUAACUUUUUUUCAUUUUUUUUCAUCAAGGGCUGGAAUUCAAUCGUGAUUACUAUCUAUUUCUGAAUAUGACGAGAUUCUAGCUCAUGUGUUCAUUCUUUCGGUUUAGGCUGGUCGAUUGAAUCAUGGCUCUAAUUGUUCAAUGUGAAUUCCAGGGUUAGGCCCACGGGGUGGUUAUAAACAGUGACCAUCAAGCUAGGCCCAACUUUGGCCGAUCUAGGUUGGUGAGGCCCAAUCUGGUCGAGUUGUCCCCACAUAGACAAACGUUCUAGGUGGUGUGGCCGAACCAUGUUUAGCCUAAAAGUUCAUUUGACCAUUCAAUAGCCUUGGCUAGGGUUGGUUUAGCAAGACUAGUCUUGUCUGAUCUAAAUCUUGUCUAAUCUUGGUUUAGCUAGGUUGUUUUUUUAUGUAUUUUUUUAUUACCUAAAUAUAAUAUUCCAAUCUAAAUCUAUUUUUGUUUAUCGUCAAAAUAUGAAAUUAAUCAAAAUUUUGAUUUCAACUAAAAGAAAAUUCAUUAAAAUCUUUUAAGUUGAUAAUUUCUCACCAUAACAUAGUAAAAAAUUUCCAUAAAUAAAUAUUCAAUAAAUUAAUAACCCCAUUUGAAUAAUAAAAUUAUUUAGUCCCCAUUCGAUAUUUUAUUAAUAAUCUUAUUAAAUACACAGAACAAUACUUUUUUUAGAAUUUCUUAAAGGCCCAAAGAAAUAUAAGUCAAUAAUCAAUAAAGUACAUAAAAAAUAGUAAAAAAAAAUUAUGAUACAGUAUCAAGUAACUUUUUACAACUUUCACUUUUCUUAAUUUAACUAUUUAUUCUAUAUUCUUAUCUUAAAACUAUUUCUAUAUUCUAUAAUUAAUGACUAUUUUCUUUAGAGUCUUUUUGAAUUUCUAGGUAUUAGUUUUUUACCUUAUCGAUUAUUUUUUUGAUUUAUAAGUUAUUAUUAUAAAGUAGGAACGUAAAGUUUUUCCAAAAUUAAUAAAUAUUUAUUUAUUAAUUAAUUAAUAACUUGUUAAGAUAAUCAUUUCAUUUGGUACGAAGGUAUUAUUUUAUAAGGAUUUUAUUAUAGUAUAAGUAAUAAAAAAUAAAAAGAUGAAGGUUAUAUUUGGUUUCGGAUAAUGUCAAGAAAAGAAAAAAAAUAUUAAAAAAAUGAUUUUCUUAUAUUUGAUUUUGACAUAAAAAUAAGAUAAAAAAUCAAAUAUAAUUAAAAUUAUAUAUAUUUUAAAAUUAUUUAAUAUUUAAUUAUUUACAUAACAAAUAAAAGAUAAAUAAAAUAAAUUUAAAACAAUGUAUGAAAUAAUUUAUUAAUUUUAAAUUUAUUUUUUAUUUUCUUUUUUGUUUUGUUUUUUGUGCAUGGAGCAAGUGAAAUGCAUAUCUAGCUCUUUCGUUACCUUUCUAUACGACCAACCAUCAUAAUUUUUUGAGUAAAAUCAACACCAUUUAGACUAAGAUUUGAAGUAAAAGGUCUUGCAGAUAUAAAAUCUUGAUUAAAUGAAUAUUUAGAAAUUGAACUAAAUUCUACUUGAAUAGUACCAUCUGUAUGUUGUAUAAUUUUUUAAAGAGUUGUUAAAGGUUUAAUUGGUUUUGGAAUAAUUAAAUCUUUUAAUUCCCAUUGACCUCCUUGAGUAAUUUCAUUCCAUUUUAAUUUUUUAGGAACAAAAGAUUGAGUAUUAUUAGGAUUAUAUUGUAAUAAUAAUGUUUUAUUUGACAGAUUGACAUAUAGCUCUAGGAUUUAAUUGAGUUGUCAUGACUUUAUAAUAUAUCUUAUAAAUUAUUGCUAUAGUUUGAGCUUCUUCUACAAAAUUCAUAUUUUUGGUUUUAAUGUUUGAGGUUAAACUUGAAAUAAUGCUUGGGUCAUUUAUAUUCAUGGAAAAGUUUGAAAAACAAUUAAAAUAAAUGGGACCAUUGGCAAGGUUUGAAUCAAUCAUGCUAAGGACGGAAUCAGUAAAUCUUGUUGACCUAGCACCUCUUAAACAAACAAAAACAUGAAUAUUUUAUGGCUACUUGAAUUAAUCCUAUAUGAAUAUAAUUAAAUUUAUUCAUAUGAUGAUUAAUAGUGUUUUGACUCAAUAAUUGAAAACUUUCUAAAUUUUGAUUAAGAGAUAUAGUUUUUUCUUCGGUUUUAAUUGAAUAAUUUUGACUAAUUUCGAAAUUUCCUUCUUGAUAUAUUGUAUUAAUUUUCAUGUGAGUAAUUGACCAAUUAUGUAAUUGAUUUUCUAUUUAUGCUAUAUUUAUUUCUUGACUAUUAACAAUAUUUUGUGCAUUAUGUAAUUGAUUUUCUAUUUGUGCUAUAUUUAUUUAUUGACUAUUAACAAUAUUUUGUGCAAGUGAUGUAUAUGUAGAAUUAUAUGAUAAAGAUGCAGAACUAUCAUUAGACCUAAGAGAUCUGGAAGAACGGCCUGUUCCAACUCGUAACACCACUUGUUUCUCAAGCAAAACAUGACUCUGAUACCAUUUGAAAUCUUGAAGUGUUGAACAUUUAAGAUUAUUAAGGAUUUCAGAAGUUCUUUAUUGAAAAUAAACUGGAUCUCUUAUAAAAUGUUUUGUUAUUACAAAUAUUAAUGUAUCGACGGAUUUAAAGUGAUUAAAAGAGGGGAAAUACAAACAGAAAAAGUAAAAGGAUGAAGAUUAUAUUUGGUUUUCGGAUAAUGUCAAGAAAAGAAAAAAAAUAUUAAAAAAAUGAUUUUUUUAUAUUUGAUUUUAACAUAAAAAUAAGAAAAAAAAUCAAAUAUAAUUAAAAUUAAUUAAAAUUAUAUACAUUUUAAAAUUAUUUAAUAUUUAGUUAUUUACAUAACAAAUAAAAGAUAAAUAAAAUAGAUUUAAAACAAUGUAUGAAAUAAUUUAUUAAUUUUAAAUUUAUUUUUUCUUACAUGUUGGUCGUAUUUUUCAGGUGGAAAUGUUUUGAAAAUCAACGAGAUUUUACGUGACAAAUGGUUCAUGGCCUUCUUUCAUUUUCGUUUUUUGUGCACGGGGCAAGUGAAAUGCAUAUCCAGCUGUUUCGUUACCUUUCUAUACGACCAACCAUCACUUUCCUGACUUUUCAAUGCUACCAAACAUGACUUUUCCAAAUUCCCAUAAGACGCUAUUAAUCACUUUAUUUAAUUAUUUUUGCAUAUAUAGGCCUUUCUUAUCAAAUAUUAUAUUUAUAUUUGGGUAUUUUAAAAAUGGGAUUGAUUGAGAGGGACUUGUGACACUUGUCAAUCAAUGAAAAUUUCAUUGACAUUCUGGUAUUCGGCAGCGUCAGCACCCAUGUAUCGUCUUACGGCUUUGCGGAGACCCGAACUAUGAAUCCUAUGAUUUCAUUAGAAAAAUUUUAAUUUGAAUAAGUUAGAAAGUGAAGGAAAAUACAACUUUUGAAUUUUCAAAUACCCUUUUAAUUAAAUAAUUAUUUUUUAAAUCAUUUUCUUCUUUAUUAAAAAAGUCAAAUUUGAGAAUACCACGUCAAAUCCAUUAUCUUCACUUUGGAAUAAUUAAAUUUAAAAAAAGCAAAAUAUGAAAACAGCAAUUUGAAUUUUAUUUUUUCAAAUUCAAUAAAAAAAAAGGGCACGAAAUAUCAAUGGUUGAAAAUGAUUUCAAGAGACUUCAUCCAUCUAUUUUUUUUAACAAUGUCAAAUUCAAAAUCAUAUAUUCAAAAUCAAAGUGGCUUGAUUGACCGGCUCUUAAUUCAUAACCAAAAAAAACAAAGUCAAUAAAUUAUAAAAUUAAGAUGGUGUUUGUUUUAUUCAUUUAUUUAAAAAUAAAUAAGUAUUUUAAUAUUAUAUUUUUAUUAAAUAUUAAAAAAAAUGGGUAUAUCAUUUUUUAGAAUUAAAAAAAGAGUCAAAUAUGUAAAUUUUUUUAUUUCGUCAAAAAUUUAAUAAAAAGCAAAACACGUUGGCGAGAACUAGACUUGAUUUGAUAUUUAGACAUGUAUUCAAAAGGCCUUGAACAUAUUUGAAUAGAGGAAAAAGGAUAAAAACUUCAUGCAAGAAACGCGGAGUCAGAUGUGAACAUAAUUAAGGUAUGAAGUACGAUUGGACCUCAUGCGGUUUGCUUGAGCCAUUUGGCAUUCUAGAAUUGACCACUAGAGCCCAGGUCUCUUCUUGAAAGCGUGUCACCCCUGGCACCACAUCGCAUGAUAUUUUAAUAAAUAUAGUAUUAAUUAUCUGGCCCCACUAUAACAUCUGAUCUGAUUAUAUAAAAAAUAUAAAUUAAUCAAGUUAAAUCCAAUAUAUAUUUAUAUUUACAUUUUUUCUAUUUAAUUAAAAAUAAUAUAUUGCUAUUAAUCAAUAUAAUUAAACUGUAUAUAUUGCUAUUACCAUCAAAAUCGUGUAUUUAUUCUUAAAUGACCUUUUUCCCUUUCAUUUAUCAACGGUUCAUUUUCCUAAGGUCACCUGAAUUUCACCUAAUCUCUCAUUCAACACGGCAGAAUGGACUGAGCAAUAAGAUCGAGGUUAGUUUAAAUCAUUGAAUUUUCUGGCUACAGCUUGUGUUUGACUUAGCCGAAAAUUGUGAUACUUUUUUCACGCUUUCAAUGUAUCUGAGGUCUUGCUAUUUGUCCCCUUUCUACGUUGUCUUUGUUUUUACCUAGGCUUCUCCAAAUAGCCUGGUGGCACUUUCCAUGUGCUCAAAUUUAAACCCGUUUAACCGAGAUAUUUAAAUUUUUAAUAUUAUCCUUGGAAAAAAGAAGUAUAAAAUUACAAUAUAUUAUUAAUAAAGUAAAAACAUCCGACCAUGAUUGUUGUUGCACUAAAUUUUUAUUUAAUAUUUUUUAAUUCUUAUAUUAUUUUUAGGUCUACCUGUCAUCUCCUAAAUGAUAAGAAAUUUAACCGUUCUUAACAUAAAAUAUUCCCUAAACUUUCAUCGUUAUAUUCGUAUAAAUUUAUAAUUUAGUGAUCGUGUUUUUAUGGACACAAUUGUGGUCCGUUGAGUUAUAAUGUCCACGUCAAUGAUUGCUUGUAUCAUUAUAGGCAGAAGCUUGUGCAUCCCAUGAUUUGUACGUUGUGGAGUUGUGGUAGUGCAGAAAAAUAUAUUAAAAUAAUAAAUUAGUUGGAAAUAUGUCGCUAGCUUGAGGGCUAAUUUCGCAGACCACAACCUCCGCCUACCAACCCAUUGGAAAAACGGCAAUAAUGCCAGUGCCCUAAGGAGAAGGAAAAGGUCUUCGAUGUAUUACAAUACAACAAGUAUUAUUGGAAGAAGUAAUUGAAAAAAAAAAAUGAAAAGGACAGAGUUGGUUGAUGGAUGAGGAAGAAGAGGGCUACCAAAAAUGAAAGAAAAUAUUAAAUUAAAAUGUAGUGAAAGCGGUAGGAAGUGCAGAAAAGCUGAGUUGACCCGAAACAGCCAUGGAGAGUUGAAACCAAGUCAAGGAUGUGCAGUACUACUAGAAAUCAGAGGAAAGGGCAACCACACAGCAUUUCAUUUGAAGCUCUCGUUCCACACAGUCGUCUCUGAUACGAAGCCUUACAGUUCGAAGAAGGUGUGUAUCGGGAUUACGAUAUUCUCGAAGGUUCCACCAAUUUAUUGGCCUCAAUCCUCCGAUUGAUGCCUCCAUGGGUUUCCUUUCUCUUCUCUGCUCUUGCCUGGAGAGGAGGCUGAAGGGCCGCGGCGGCGCCGGGGAUGAUGAAGCAGAUGCUGCCAGCGACGGCGACAGUUUCGACCUGUUCUUCGACCUCCGCGCUCUCCAGGUCGCCACUAAUUUCUUCUCCGAGUUCAAUGAGCUCGGGCAUGGUGGGUUUGGUCCUGUCUACAAGGUACGUUUCUUGAAUAUAGUGUUCAUUUAGGGCCAUUUUGGGUAUCACCUGUCGCCCAGGCUUCGUUUCUGUGGUGGUCUGUUCCGGUUGAGUUACCGGAACUGACGAGGUCUAAUUUAAGGGGAAGGCUCGUCACGUGGCAUUUUUCAUACCGUUAUAUCACUGAUGUUGUGAUAGAUGUAAAGCAUAUAAAUUAAAAAAAAAAUUAUUUACAAAAUCCAAUGAGUCCUUGGUUUGAAAUCUCCAACCCGAGAUGAGGUUAAGUUGGGCUUAGAUGAAUUUUCAAUCCAACCAAUCCACUUGAGUUGCAGCCCAUCUCAAAACAAUUGGUAUAUGUUAAAAGAAUAAACCAGUGACUCUUAAAAGUUUCUAAAAUUCUAGGUACAUGUCUAUCACAAUGUUGUGGUUUUCAAAAAGCUUUUGUUGAUUGCCAAUUUUUAGUUGUUUUCUGAGGGGGUUGUUCUGGAUUUUCUUGGUUUGUUUUUUAAGGAUGAUAUGGCAGCACAUGGCUGCUCUUGUUUACCAAAUCAAUGCUUCCUAAGUUAAAUUUUCAAUCAUAAUAAUUUGGCUCAUACAACCUUUGAUUUUUCUAAGUAGGUAAGUAAGAGUGUGUUUGGUAGUGAUUUUAGGAAGUGUUUCUAUCAUUUCUAAUCCUUGAAGAAUGAAAAAUUUCAAGUGUUAAAAAGAUUAAAAACGCUUCCUAAAAUCACUGUGAAACACACUCUAAAUAAUCCAUGAAUGGUGAUUCCAACAAGUAGAUAAGAAGUAUAUAAAGGGAUGGAAAGAUUAAAAACAAGAGGCCAAUUCUGGCCCAAACGUGACUGCCCCCUGCAAUCAACAAAAUUCGACAAGAAAGGAUUCAAAUCCACAAGCUUUAGACCAACCAAACAACAUUUUCAGAAAAGAAUCUUUCAAUUUAUAAUUUGAGCUGUCACAGUCUCAGAAAAUUCUCCUAUUUUGCUUCUUCCAAAUGCACCAUAAUGUGCAUAACAAUGCCAUCCUCCAAACUUUGGAAUGCCUCUUCCCAUUAACUGGCUAUGUUAUUGAUGCCCAGGCAAUCCCAAAAAGAGAGAAUGGUAGAAAAGACACAAUCUCAACUUCUCACAAUGGAUGAAAAUGUGAUCUAUUGUUUCCUUAAUUCACCAGAAGGCGAAAUCUUCUCAUCAUUGUCAAAAUUUUCUGCAGACAGCACAAGCUUCAAGGGAGCUCUUGAGCUCCAGAACUCCUUCAAGAGAACUUUAAGGAAGCUCCCAGAAAAAGAAUUCUACAAUAAGACUUAAAUGAAAAACGGCCCCUAAUGCACACUCCGCCACAUUGGUCUGUCUGAGGAAUGUUCAUUUGCUCUCACCAACUGAAUAAUCAUUUAUCCAUGUUUCACUAGGAAAAUUUGGGAGUGAAAGUUGACUUUUUUGACAACCUUGUUAAUCCUACCUCUCAAGAGUACCAAACUCAUGAAAGUAACGUAAAAAAUUCAUCAUGUCUUCCUGAACGAUACCCCAGCUACUACAGUGAAAUGCCAUGGUAGAGCCAUCAGGACGGUUUAUCCCCUCCCUGAUCAGCAAGGGCUGCCAGAAUCUCAGCCACAGCAGACACACUUUUCCAUGAACACCUCUAUUAGCCUCUUCAAUGAAACUAAAAGCCACCUCAUCCCUCCGUCUUCUAUCCCGGAAUCAGAAUAAAGCUGCUAAAAAAACUUGCAAGUUCCUGCUACUGAGAAUUAGCUAUUCUAUGGAAGAUUUUAGUGUUUCUGUUCUCUUCCUAGAGCCAAAACACCUAGGAUUUUGUUUCAAAGUCAACUCCCCCAACAGCACCAAAUGCUUACUCCAACAAAGCCCUCCUGGUCUCCCCUUCCAACAAAAGCACCUUCUCUUGCUCCUUCCUAUGCUAAAAACCAAGCCACUCCUUGGGAUAAGACUUAUGAAUACCUGCAUCCCAGGUACCUCACCAUUCUAGCAUCCAAAAAUUUCUUUCAAGGGCUUUCAGCUUCCUUUUGCCAGCACGAAAUUCAAGGAACCCCUAAAAUCAAAAUGAAGCUGCCAAAUCUUCAAACCUAACCUCUCUGAGCCUUUUUUUUUUUGAUAGGUAAAUGCAAAUCAUAUUAAAACACCAAAAGGGGCGCACCAAAGUACACAAAGUACACAUAAGUGGACCACAAACCCCAGAUAACACCCAAAUAAAACUGCCUUGUCUUAAAACAUUACUGAACAACCUGCUGAAUCUCUUUUGCUCAAAACUCCCACUCCAAGAAAUGACCUUCCUCAAACUCCUAAUCACCUCUUUAAACAUAAGUUCUAUCUUGGACUCUUGCAAACACACCACCUGACAUUAUAUAUGGCUUAAAAUGUGUUUCACAAAUGGGAAAGACACUGCAAUUCCAAAAAUCUUAGUUUAUGUUAGAUAUUGGGUGCAUAAAAAUAACACUAGUGAUGAAUGCAUGUGAUUUACAAGAAGCUUAUGUAAUAAUAACAAUAAUAGUAGUAUUAAAUUAAAUAAUAAUAAUAAUAAUAAUAAUAACUGUUCAUAUAUUUUUACCAUAAAAAACAAUGCUAAUGAUGGUAUAACUAUUAAAUUUGGACACAUAAAAUAAAGAACAAUAGUCAAAUGAUAAGACUUCUUAUAAAAGGAUCUACAAAUUAGUGUAGUAAGAUUCAUUUGUGAAGUACAAUAUCAUCUUUGACAACAAAUCCAGAUUCAGCAUCAUGGUAAGUCAAAUCAUAGUUAUGUUGAUCUUGUUUUUCUGGUCGUGUUUUGGUUUAUGCGUUUGAGUUGUGGAGACUCUAAAACUCUUCAGGUUGAUAUUAGUAUGAGCCAUUUCAGUCAUGCGUUAUCUUAAAAAAGCACACUUACUGUAAGGCAUCUGUAUGUCUGUCUCCAAUUUUUAGUUCAUAUUGAUUAAUGCAAAAGGAUUUGGAGGUCUUUCACACUGAGGAUUGGGAAUCAUACUUGAAGAUGUUUCUUCUAUGAAAAUUGGUUGAUAAGAAAAUCUAGUACAUAUGAUGGAAAAUGAUUUUAGGUGAUGCUUUGUUUGGAUAGGUAGAUGGAAACAGGGAAUGUAUUUGAGAGGAUUUUCAUGGAACAUCUUUCUCAAGUUUCGACAUUCAGGCAUGGUGGACAUCUAGAAUCAGGGGAUGUUCCCUGGAAUUCAUAUAUGCAUUGACAUUUUUACCUCUCUAGAUUCUCUGUUUUGAGUAUAACCCCGUGCAUUUUGAUUUUCUAGUUAAGCCAUGUUUUCCAGUUAUCCUCUAAUAUGGUCAUUAGAAUUUCUGUUUAGUGAUCUCCUGAUGUGGAGGUAGUCACACUACCCUGACACUGUGCUGAAUUUAUCUUUACAUUUAAGACCUCCCUCCGUCAGGUUUUGUAAUUUAAUUAUGACAAUACAUACCAAGACAAAACAACAUAACCAACUUACUUCGGAAGCCAAAUGACAUUGUGAAAAACCUUUUAUUCAUAUUGAUAUUGACAUUUAAAAUUAGCCACAUCAAUACAGACAUUUUUACUUGGAAAGAAAACUAGGAUCGGGAGCUCACUUGAGCAGAAAAAACUAUAGGGAAUAUAAAAUCUUGUAUUUCUAGACCGUAUUGUGAAUUGAUGUGGAAUGAUCAUUAUCCUUUUUCUUACAGGGAUUGAUGCCAAAUGGUACACAAAUAGCUGUGAAGAAGCUCUCACUGGAUUCAAGACAGGGAGUAAGAGAAUUCACUAAUGAGGUAAAAUUGUUAUUGAAAAUUCAGCACAAGAACUUGGUCACAUUGUUGGGCUGUUGUGUAGAAGGACCUGAGAAGAUGCUGGUCUAUGAGUAUCUUCCAAACAAGAGUCUUGACUGCUUCCUUUUUGGUAAAAAAUCUUCCUGCUUAGCAGUUAUAUAUGCAGCUGAAUUAUAUAAAUUGCACAUUAGCUAUAUUAUAUGAUGAAACUAGACCUGGAACAUGAUGUUUUCAGAUAAAACAAAGUCUGCAUCCUUGGAUUGGGCAACGAGGUUUCGAAUAGUUAUGGGUGUGGUGAGAGGUCUUCUUUACCUACAUGAAGAGGCCCCUGAAAGGAUUAUUCAUCGAGAUAUUAAAGCUAGUAACAUAUUGUUGGAUGAAAAGUUAAAUCCAAAGAUCUCAGAUUUUGGUUUGGCAAGGCUUUUUCCUGGGGAUGAAACACAUGUAAAUACAUUUAGGAUUUCGGGUACUCAGUGAGUGCUUUCUUCUUUUCACCUCUUUGUAACUUAUUCUCUAGUAGUUUCUUUACAAAUAAGUGAGUCAAUAUCAUGUUGGUAUCAUUAUGUUUUAAAUAGCUUUAUUGUUGAAGAGCUAAGAUGAAGAUGAAAAUAAGCAGCUCUCUUUUUGUUGAAUGCAGUGGCUAUAUGGCUCCUGAGUACGCACUACAUGGAUACUUGUCUGUUAAAACGGAUGUAUUCAGUUUUGGGGUUUUGGUAUUGGAGAUUGUGAGCGGGAGAAAGAAUCACAAUUCACAUCUGAGUGCAGAAAAGACGGACCUCUUGAGCUAUGUAAGUUUUGUCAGCAUCACCUUAACCCCACUAUCUCACAACAGGGGAAAAAACUGGAUUUGGUAAACCACCUCCCUCAAAAAAGUGUGACUACCUGUAAAGAACACAUCAAUCCUUAAUGAAACAUUUUUCUGCUUGCCUACCUGAAAAGGUUCAGCAAAUCCUUCAAUUUAUCAGCAGCAAUCCUAUUGUUGGUUGGAUAUAUGUCCAUUGCAUAACACUCCAAUAAAUUAUAGAUGGAAUUUCAUUUUUGUUGUUUACCAAAUGAUAAGUCUAGUUAAACAAAGUCACAUUUUUGUCCAAACAUAUCGUCAGCAGUGAAUGGUUGUGAAUCCUGAAUUCGUCACCAUGAAAUUGAUUUGAUUGCAUUCAUGAAAGGGAAUGUGCACUCAUUAAACGGAACCCUUACAGCACUGCAUAACAAGACUAGAACCACAUAACCUUCAUUUUGACAUGCCCACUCAAGUUAUAUAAAAAUAUGAUUAAUGCCUUAUACUGAUUUCAUAUAAUCCGAGUAUUUUUAUAAAUAAAUCUAAUUUGAGGAUUCUGAUCUUGAAGUAAAGUUGGUCUGCAUGUUCUGUUGUAUUCUGAGUUGCACAUGAUUUGACUAAGCCUCUUGAUUUCCCUUCAUUCACUUUCUGCAGACAUGGAAGCUCUACCAAGGUGGGAAAGCAUUAGAAUUAGUUGACCCAAGCCUUGCCAAGUGUAAUCCUGAUGAGGCAGCAAUGUGCAUUCAGCUGGGAUUGUUAUGUUGUCAAGCAAGUGUUGCAGAUAGACCCGAUAUGAACUCUGUCCAUCUUAUGCUAUCAAGUGAUUCCUUUAAUUUGCCAAGACCAGGAAAACCUGGAAUUCAAGGCCGAACUGGACGAUGGACGACUACCACUUCAGCUUUCACAAAUACUAAUGCCACUAGUACCAGCACUGGUAUUACCAAGGCUUCUGCUGGUAGUAGUUUUGUUGAGGAAUACUCCAGAAAUUCCAUCUCCAUUUCUUCUCUAGAUGAAGGAAGAUGACCUCCGUAUACUUUCUGUAAAGAACCAGAGCUCCAUCUAUUUAUGUAAAAAGUUUGUAGUAUCAAUUAUAAUAUUAUUCAUUGUAUUUAUAAUAUAAUCAUUUUGCUGGGAAAAUCUGGUGUUUCUAGUUGGGAAGGGCUCCAAAAUCAAAUUUUGGAAAGAUACUUGGUGCACUGAUACACCGUUGUCCCAUUGCUUCAAUCAUCUCUUUGUCCUGGCCGCGCAUAGGGACGCAACGAUUGAGGAGAUGUGGGACCAAAAUUCUGGUCAAGGAGACUGGAACCUAGUCUUUUUGAGAGACUUCAAUGAUUGGGAGUUGGAUAUGGUUGGGGAGUUGCUCCACACCUUGAGGGGUCAUAGGCCUUCUUUGGAGGAAGAUUCAGUUAUGUGGAGGCGAGGAAGAAAUGGUCUAUUCAGGGUCAAGGAAGCUUAUAGGCUGUUGGACAACCCUAAUGCCAUAGCUUUUCCUUCAAGGAAUAUAUGGGUGGAUAGGGUGCCAACUAAAGUUGUUUUUUUUGCUUAGGAGGCGACGUGGGGGAAGGUGAUCACUCUGGACAAGCUCUAGAUAAGAGGGGUGCAACUCCCCAAUUGUUGCUUUUUGUGUGGUUGUGAAGAAGAGAAUGUAAAUCAUAUUCUUUUACACUGUAUAGUGACUAGAGCUCUGUGGGAUAUUAUUUUUGGGUUAGUAGAUGUUAAAUGGGUCUUUCCAGAAACUGUAAAGGAGGUCUUAACUUCCUGGAGGGGCCCAUUUGUAGGGAAGAAAAUGAAAAAUGUUUGGAAAUCCAUACCGUUGUGUAUUUUUUGGACGGUUUGGAAGGAAAGGAAUAGGUUAGCUUUUAGGGGGGGUGUGUUGAAUAUCCAGAAACUAAAGAAUUCUUUUGUUUGUAACCUAUGGAGCUGGGUCAAAGUGUAUUUAGGCGAGGAGUCUCUCUCCCUUAUAAGCUUUUUGGAGUGGGUAGCAUCCACUUAAGGGGAGGUAGUCUUCAUUUGGUCCUGUAGUUUUUUGAGGCUUUAGUCGCCUUGUAUACUCCCUGUAUACUUUGUGGCUUUUAGCCUUUUUCUAAUGCAUAUCUUGUUUACUUAUAAAAAAAAAAAUAUAUAAUAUAAUCAUUUGCUUGAACUAGUGUACAUGGGAAGCAGAGGACACUAGCGAUUCAUUUUGAAUUUUUUAAACCUAUUGGUGUGUUCAUGAAUUAAAAUUCAAUCACCAUGGGAAAUGGCUGUGUAUUGGUUACAAAGAAUGAGAGAAACAAAAAUAUGUACUAGUGUGUUCUUUGAGUGUUGUUUCUCCAACCCUCUCUGGCCCUCAGAUGGUUCUUUCAAAAAUGGCUAUCUUAGUGAGGUUUUCCUGUUAGCCAUCGCUCAUGAUUAGGGCAAUAGGGCUUUCUUGUAUCGGUUUUAUCUCCAAUUGUUAUAGAUUAGUUCAAUGCAUUAUUGAGACUUUGAAAGUCCAAAAUCAUGACAACCAAUUUCUUUUAUUUGACUGGCGUUUCUUUUUGACAAUACAAAAGCUCAGUCAACACAACUCUGGAUGAGGAGUUCUAUUUAUAGCUUUCAUUUUUUUUCGUCUACCACCCUCAGUAUGAUUCGCAUACUAACACUGCAACAGAUGUUUCUUUCUAUCUUUUUCGCUCUGGUGUUUUUCUCUGUCAACCUCACUGGCGCCUAUGAAAGCCCUCGAUUCCAGGAAUGCGGAGUUGAUGCCGACAAAUACACCAACAAUUCCCUUUUUGCAGCCAAUCUUGCUCAUGCUCUCAACAAUAUAAGGACAUAUACAGCUCAUACAGGCUUCAACACCACCACUGUUGCGAAUGGGACGGAGCCGGUCACAGCUCUAGGCUUCUGCAGGCCUGACCAGACUCCAAUGGAGUGCCAAGCAUGCAUUGAUUCGGCUACAUCAGGUAUUCUUGAGGUUUGUCUGUAUCAGAAAACAGCUCAGAUAUGGUACAACUUGUGUAUGAUCCGUUAUUCUUUCAUGGACUUCCUCUCCCUUGUUGACCGCACACCCAUCUUCUCACUGUGGACUGAUUUUGAAACUCAAAGCUCAGAUGUUUACUAUCAAACAUUGUUGGCCAUGGUGAAGAACCUAUCAUCACUGGAUGCCGUAUCCAAGAGGCGAUACGCAGUAGGAUGGAGUAGAGUAAAUGAAGCCACAAAAGUAUACGGAUAUGCCCAGUGCACCCCAGACCUUAGCGGGGAAAGUUGCAGCAGUUGUUUGGUAAGUUGUACCGAGGAAAUGAACACUUAUUGUUGGAACAAAUGGGCAUGUUGGAGUGGUAUGCCAAGUUGUUCCAUAAUGUUUGAUAGAUAUCCAAUAUUUAAUCAGUCCAUUGAUACACCAGAAAUUCUUUUGAAUUUGCCAUCAAAAACUGAUUCAGAAACUCAAGCUGAAGAAGCUCCUAAGACUGGCAGACGAGGAAGGAGCAGCAUGGUGAUUGGAGUUUCAGGUGCAGUGGUUGGGACAGUUAUUUUGGUCGUAGCAGCCGGGUGGAUGAUUAUGAAGGGAAGGCAUAAGACUAAUAAAGGGCAAAGAAGAGGGAGUGGAGAUGAGGAAGAUGCUGAAGAGAGCAUAAGAGAGGGACUAGGGAUGAGAAAUUUCUUAUAUGAUAUGGAGGCAUUGGUGGCUGCAACUGAUAAUUUUUCUUCAGCUAAUCGGCUUGGAGGUGGUGGAUUUGGCUUCGUUUAUAAGGUAAUCAUAGCAUUUUUCUUCAAAACUUAGAAAGUUCAACUCUUCCUUGCGAAAGUGAUACCUAAGCUGAGUAGGAAGGAUGUUUUUUUAAAUUAAUUGUCCAAAAAUUAUACUGCAUGAUGAUCAUUUUAGUAGAGGUUCUUAGAAUGUAUAAGAUUGUUCUUAAACUCUUAAAUCAGAGAUCAAAUCCUUGAAGGGACUUGGUUGCUUUCCCAAUAAUUUGACCAAUCAACUGGUCCAACUGAAAGAUCCAUGCCUGAUUUUAAUGGUGGUGCUUCCUUUUCUGAGUUGGGGAUUUUUCAGUUCUUAACUCUUAAACCACCCCAACCUUAAUCAACAGGAUUGAAUCCAAUCUUGUAGCACAAGAUAAUUGGAGAAGUCCCAAGAUACCACUUGUUUUACAUGGCCUGUGAUGCUGAUUUCUUUAAUAGAAAUUGUCAAUUGUGAGUUUGUAAACAAAAAUGUCUAACCUUCUUAUCCAAUGUUCAUGCGGCCUUGCCUGAAACUAAUUAUUGAUGCAGGUCCCUGACUGGUCAGUUUUUCUUCAUUUACCAUCAUCAUUACCUGGUCAAGGAUAUAUACAGUAAUCAAUGAAGUGUAGCACUACCUACUGUGGUUUAUAGAAGCCAUUUUUUUUGACGAUUUGGGUUCAUUGACCAAGAGCAGAUAGCUUACUGGUUUGUUCUUAACCAGGCAUUGACCUCAAUUAGACAUUGGGGAUUAAAUUAUUAAUUGGUUCAAUGAAUCAAUUCUGUAGGGGAAACACACUGGCCCAUUUGAUUUAGAAGAUUUAAUGACCUCAUAACAAUGUUUUUAAUUUAAAUGAUGCUUAUGCCUAACAUGUUGAAGCUUAUACAUAGGGGAGAAUGCAUAAUGGUGAAGAGAUAGCAGUGAAGAAACUCACGGUUGGUUCCACGCAAGGAGUGGAAGAAUUCUCAAAUGAAGUGGAAGUCUUGGUGAAAAUGAGGCACCGGAACCUGGUCAAACUGCUCGGUUGUUGCACUCAAGGAGAUGAAAAGAUGUUGGUUUAUGAGUAUCUGCCUAACAAAAGUCUCAACUACUUCCUCUUCGGUAAAUUUUGUUUUUACAAUUGUGCUUCAUCACUACACUGUUUGAUAGCCAAGAAACAGAGCAAAUUUUCCUCUGUUUUCUUGGCAACUAAAUUUAUCACCAUCCUGAUAUGAUUAUGUUUUUGUCCUUAAAUCAUUCAAACAGAUAAGAGUAGGAGUGCACUCCUUGAUUGGCAAAAGCGCUCCAACAUCAUGGUGGGAGUAGCACGAGGGCUUCUUUAUCUUCACGAAGAUUCUCAAAUCAGAAUCAUUCACAGAGACAUCAAAACAAGUAACAUAUUGCUAGAUGAACAUAUGAACCCCAAGAUAUCAGAUUUUGGAUUGGCAAAGCUUUUCCCAGAUGAGCAAAGCCACCUUAGAACUCGCCGAAUAGCUGGAACUGUGUAAGUACCAAAAAUGGAGUUUACAUUUUGCGAUGUUCACAUCAUAUCUAUACAACCUUGCUAGCCCAUUCCAAUUGAACAUGACAGAUAGCAACUUCAAAGAAACACGACUUAUUAGAAUGGCCUUAAUUCUGUUUUUUAGAUUACUAAUGAUGAUGCUCUGAUAUAAAGAAUGUAUGCCUUUUUCGUAGAGGGUACAUGGCUCCUGAAUAUGCUAUUAGAGGUCUCAUGUCAACAAAGAUCGAUGUUUUCAGCUUUGGGGUGUUGAUGUUGGAAAUUAUAAGUGGUCGGAAGAACUACGACCCGCAGCUAGAUGAUCAAAGAAGAGAGCUUCUAAACCUGGUAAAUAUCAAAGCAAAUGCAACCCUUUCUCCCCUUUCACACUUGGGCUAUCUCCAUUGCUGAUUAAUCGAGUUAAAAUGUUGCAGACACGCAGACUAGAAAGACAGGGAAGGUUGAUGGAGCUUGUUGACACAACCAUUGGUUCAUUCCCAGAAGACGAAGUAAAGAAAUGCAUUCAUAUUGGAUUGUUGUGCUGCCAAGAUAACAUGCAAGAAAGACUGACCAUGUCAUCUGCACUCAUGCUGCUUUUGAAUAAUCCAGUAACCAUGCCUCCUCCAGGAAGGCUAGGGUUUCAGGGCAGCAGAGAAAACACAAAUGAAUCAUCUACAUCAAAUUCUGGCUCCUCCAUUGUUCUUGAAAAUGAGAAUGUUUCAAAUAAUACCAUGACUACUUCAUUGACAAGUGGUAGGUGACUCAUAGAUGGUUUCUUCAUAUAUGUUUCCUUUCUCUGUGUUGUUGCAGUUGGCCAUGUAAUAUUAUGAUUGAUCUAUUUACUCAAAAUCAUAUUUUAAAUUAUUUCUUAAAAUAUGAUUAUUUUAAAAAAAUAUUUCUAAAUUUAUUAUGGAGGAACCCAAUCUUUGAAUUGAUACCUUAAAAAGUAUUAUAUCAUAAAUUGUAAAACCAUCAUAUCUUAAUAAAUGCUAAAAAAAAUGAUAUAUUUUUUUUAAAAAUCCGGAACUUCCAACUCUUGCUGGAACAUCUUCCAAUUCUUAAACCAAAAUGUUCCUGGUAGAGUGACAAUAAAUUUUAUAUCAGAUAACAUGGACAGAAGAAGUCAUGGACAUGAACAGUGGUAGACUAUAAAAUGAGGUCAAUUCUUUGUAAAUACCCCACAGUCCACACCCACUCACAUCUUAUUGGUUGUUUGGUCAUAGAUAAAAUAAAGGAUUCCCCCAAGAUAAGAUGCCCUUCUUUCUCUCAAUCCUACUACUUCUAGAUUUUUCAACCAUUUUGAGUCUUAUAAAUUGAUUCCUUUCCAACCAAACUCAGCCCUAAAUGAUUAAAAAUUAGACACCAUACAUUAUGGUCAAAGCAAGAGGACAUCCAACUUUUCACCUUUUGCCUAAAAGUGACAUUAUUUUCUUAGAAUAAAAGUUUAAAAAAGAAGAAGAAGAAAUCCAAAAGCACAAUUUCCCAAUUCCUAAUUGGUAUUUUAUUAAAUUAUCAUAAAUUUUAAAAUAUUUUUUCAAUGGCUAUGCCUAUGAUUCUUAAAUUAUUUUUAUAACUAUUAAUUUUUUUUUAUAAAUAUUAAAAAUGGCAAAAAUAAGAAAAUCCAUUGACUAUGUAAUGCCUUCUGAGCAUUGGGUAGGGACCCAGGCAGGCAGACAAACUUGGGAGUUCUGAGCUGUCAAAGUCUGAAAAUACUACACGUAAUUCUACCUGGCGCUUCUCUUCACAUUCACUUUCCCACAAGAGAGAGAAGGAGAAGCUUCUCUCAUUCUCUCUCUGUACACCAUACGUCAGGACACCCAAGUUUGAACCAUCAUAUCCGGUCUCUACCCUUUGGGGACACUGGGAAUCAUAUGGCCAAUUGGGAGCUGAAGAAGUGUUGCAAUCAUGAACAGGUGGUGUUUCUCACCACCAUCUCCAUAUGCACUGUGGUCAUCCUCGCGGUAAUGCCUUCUUUCAUGGGUGCUUCUGUUUUUAAUCAAUUAUUGGCUGCAUUUGAUUUUUGAGGCAUACCCAUUAAGCAAAGGCAUGGAUAAAGUCAAUAUUAUUAGUAUCUAUGGAGUAUGGCCUGCAGUGGAGCAGUUGGGACUAGUUGGGUGAGUGGUGUGACAUGGGCCAGAUCUCUUUUUCCCACUGAAGAUGACCUGUUUCUGAAAAUCUGGGUGUGCCCAGAAGUUUGUUUUGCUUUCUUCAUGUGUUUUGUUGUGUGCUAUCUGCUGUGGCAGUACUUCACAGGAAUGCAUUGUCAGAAUCUAGGGUGCCCUUUGCUUUUGUACUGUUCUUCUUUGUGUUCCUUUACCAAUUUGGAUGAUCUAAAUAUGUGCCUAAUUUAGCUUUUCCUGUUAGAUUUUUCAAGGGGCGGAAGCAAGUCAUGAGAUCUAUUUGAAUUGCGGAGAGAUUUGAAAGUUAAAGUUAAUUUCUUUCUUAAUUGGAAACUAAAUUGGCUUUUGGGCUCUUGAGCAUUAGUUUGCUUUUUUAGUAGUCUUGGUUCUUCUACCAUAUCAAUGAUUAACUUUUUUUUCUUAUUAAUUUUCAUCUAGUCUUGUUCUUUUUUUCUUUUGCAUUGCUUUUCAACAUAUUUAGUUGUAGAUCCAUGUUGAAAUUCCACGGGGUUCGGUGAAUUGAAAUAUAAUAUUUCUUGUAUGUACAUUGAAUUUUGGACCUAGAUGCUUAAAUGGUCUUAAGCUAACUUAACUUAAGGGUAAUCCAAUCAUAUUCUUUAUGACGAUAAUUUAGACUUAACAACCCAAAAGUUUUUCACUUGGAGGUGUUUUGAAGCCCUCAUUUUCCUCCAAAAUUAUCUUUCUGGAAGUCCCCCCCCCCCCCCAGUUGUCUUACUUCGGGGGAGUAUCUUGCGUUGCCAAAUAAGGGUACACAGUGAGAGGGUAUGUUGUGCCUUAAAUGAGAAAAGAUUCCUCUAAGCUUCUCGACUGAAUGUGUUAGAUGAAGAAUUUAACUAUGUUGCUCUCACAGACCAGUAAAUCCGCAACUCUGUUUUUUAUUGGGAAUGGAUCUUUGAGCAAGGAUCUUGGGAAGAACUUNNNNNNNNNNNNNNNNNNNNNNNNNNNNNNNNNNNNNNNNNNNNNNNNNNNNNNNNNNNNNNNNNNNNNNNNNNNNNNNNNNNNNNNNNNNNNNNNNNNNAAAAAAAAAAAAAAUUUUUUUUUUUUAAAAUUUUUCAUGAGUUUUGUUUUUUUUUUUUUUGGCAUUGUUUUUCAAAAAUUUUUUUUGGAAACCCCUGGGAAAAUUCCCGGGGGUUGGGGAAAAAAAAAAAUAAUUUUUUUUUUUUGCCACAAAAAUUUGGGCCCCAGGGGUUAAAAGGGUUUUAAGCAAAUUUAAUUUGGGGGUUAUCCCAUUUUUUUUUUUUGGGGGAAAUUUUUGAUUUACCCCCCCAAAAUUUUUUUCCUUGGGGGGUUUUUGGAACCCCCUUUUUUCCCCCAAAAUUUUUUUUUUGGGAGGCCCCCCCCCCCCCCCCCCCCCCCCAUCCUUCCUUUUGUCUUAAACAACCCUUAAUUUCAAUAGAUUGCCAAAUACUUCAAAGUGAUCAAAAUUGCCCCGAAUUAGUUGAGCUGACCCUUAUUUGACCAAAAUCAUAAUGUUUGUUCAUUCCACACCAUUUUAAGCUGAGAACCCAACUUUUAACUGCAAUGCUCAAUUUUCCAAGAAAAAGACCAAAACCCCUAGCCUCCAACUGGAAUAUAAAUAGAAGGUUCUCAAAAACUGCCUCCAAUUGUGGUAGUUUGAAUUCAUGCAUUUCAUGGGAGCUGGGUGUCUGGUGAAAUGUACAACCAAAGUCUACCAAUUCCCAUUAGAUCAGGUCCUUGGUGAUUUUAACAGAAGAUAUGCCAUAUGUUUUGAAGUUCAAAUAAAUGGACUGUCAGUUUCCCUCUUUCAAAAUGGAAUUAUCACAUUCUUGGAGAUGGGUUCAAGAAGGGAGAAUUAAUCAAGAAUAGCAUUUCCUUUUCAAACCACUUUUUCCCCCCUUCUCAGGUUUUAUCUUUUGCUGGCCACGUCUAUGCUUAUUGGUACUGCUUUAUCUGAAAACCAAUUCUGCAGUUCUCAAUCUUGUUUAAUUCAUGUAGCUAUGGAGAACAAUAUUGCUGACACCAUUCAAGCUUGUCACUGUAUUUCUUCAUGAAGCCAGUCAUGCCAUCGCUUGCAAACUAACAUGUGGCCAUGUAAGCAGCCUUUUUCUCCCUUCAACUUUUCGUGUAUAAAUCAUGAGUGACACAAGGAAAAAGUUUAGGAACCUUAUUUUAUUUGAAUUUUAGUUGCACAAACAUAAUCCAAACAUGGGAGUCUGUAAAGCAAUAUAGUUUGUUUGCUUCUGAUUUGAAUGUUUAUCUUUAUUUUCAGAAAAUGCAUAUGUACAUUUUUCUUAAUUUGAACUUGACACUUGGAAUUAGAAGCUGAGCCAUAAGAUUUUGGUCUGAUGUCAGUUGAUUGAAUGUAGUCCCCAUAUGAAAAUUAUCUAAAAGGUAAUUUGUCUGCCUAUUUUUGAAUCCCAUAUCAUUGAAUUGUAUAACUUGGUGAUGUGAAACGGUUUCAUAACCAAACUCACAAAGUAAUAGAAAUCAGAUUAUUUAUUGAAAUUCUGAAAAGUUUGUAUUCCAAGUGAGAAAUGCAAAAUGCUUGCACUCAUUUUGGAAAAAAUGUGUAGACUGAAACACAAACAUAUCCUCCAUUUUAUAUUUAUUUAUUGAAACAGACAGACAGAGGGAGAGAGUUAUUUUUGGUUUAGUUUCCCUUUUCAUCAAUUUGUGCCACUGUUUUUACUUUCAAGUUAGCUGAAUAAGUCGAGGAAUGACAUGUUGACUUGACUAGGAUUCUUUCCACUCAUAAGUUCUUGGAACACACUUCCACAUUCUGGUUCAUAGAGAAAAAGCUUGUACAACUAACAUACUCAUGAUUAAUCUUUUUUUCUUGGUUUAGUUUUCUUUAUAUGCUAUGUGGUAUUUCUCUGAAAAUGCUAAUUAAUACAUUACCUUAAAAAGGACAUGUUAGUAAGUCUGACAUAGAUGAUUAUAUGCCUAAUUCUUACUAAUAGCUGUUGAUGAUUUCAUAUUAAUGGUGUUACUACAUUUCUUUGUUAAGCCUAUUUUGGGUGGAGUAAAUACAUGUUUGGUCUUUGUGCUCUGAAUCUGACUGGGGCGCUUCCAUAUACAGCCAUAGUUCCCUUUCCUUUACCACUGGGUGCCUACCCCUGGAGUAGACUUGAACAAAAGUAACAACAAUAGUUUCUAUUGAGUGUCUUUAUGCAUGUCAAUGCGUAUCAGUGUGGCUAUAAUUACAUUUGGGGUUUCUUGAGCUGCUCUCCCCCAUCAACUCCUCAGCAACCCUAGACAGGGAUCCGUUGCAGUUCUUCUGAUUUACUCUGUGGAAUGCAGGUGGAGGGGAUCCAGGUUCAUGCAGAUGAAGGUGGAACCACACAAACGCGCGGUGGCAUAUAUUGGUUAAUCUUGCCUGCUGGAUGUAGCUCCUUUUUUGCUCUGAUAAUUUCUAUGUCACAUCACAAUGCAUUCCUAGUUUUCACGCAAGAAGCAUAAUCUAGUAUCAUGCAGAUGCCAUACUUGGGUGUAACAUCAUUCAUUUGAUCCAUCUAUUAUCCCACAUAUAAAUUCAUGCUAUUUAUGAUUCUUGACGUUAUCAAUAUAUCUUGGAAUUGAUGUUUUGUCGUUUCUUUAUGGUAUUCCAGACCUCGGAUCAUCAUUUUGGGGAAUGGUCUUGAUAAUUGCAUCCACAAAUGUUCUCACUGCAAAAAUUGCUGCUGGAUGUUUUGCUUUUGCUCUACUUGUUGUACUUUUUGUAGCUAAAAAUGUAAGUAUUUAUGAAUCUCAAGGAUGUAUUAUACUUUGGUGUCAAAUUGUACCUACAGAUGCUGGAGUUCACGAACUGGAACUCCUUUUGAAAUGCAAUUACUAUUUUCAAUUUUCUUAGUAAAUGAAAGAACAAGUUUGUCACAUCAAAUGGCUUUCGAUGCCAAAUCUUGACAAAAUGUAGGAAUAGGGUCUUUCUCAAAGCCCUAUACCAAAUCAAGGUUAAGGAAAACAUGGUUGGACUAUGUUUACCUAAGUUUUUAGUAGUUAAUCAGACUAUGCAGGCAUGUUAUAUUUGUAUGACUGCUUGAAUAUUUCUGUUCUGUUAUUUAAACAGUGGACACUCCGGGGACUUUGCAUUGGUACGUUCUUUCAGGAUCUGGACGUAUCUUGCUUCCUAAAAUAUAACACAAGCUGCACAAUAAUAUUUAGAUGAUGCUCACGUUUACAUUUUCGGGCAUCAGGGUUCAUUAUACUCAUUGCUGUAGUUUGGCUUCUGCAAGAAACAACUGAAAUCCGCAUACUGCGGUACAUCAUUCUGUUCAUCGGUAACACUAUCCUCAUCAUUUUCUUUCCUUUCCACUCACUGAAAUGCUCCAUUUCGCAUUUCUUCAUGAUGAAUGGAUUGCUGUCUCUCUCUUCUUUGGCAAACUGCAGGUGUAAUGAACAGCUUAUUUUCAGUUUAUGGUAUGGUCUUGGAGACAAAGCAAUUAAUUCAGUUUAUAUAACCAUCUUUUCUGGAGUCACAAAUGACCUGCAAUGUGCAUCUACUGAUGCAGAUAUCUACGAUGAUCUGAUAUCCCGAAGAGUUAACUCUAGUGAUGCUGAGAAGUUUGCGGAAGUUUGUCCUUGCCCUUGUAAUGGUGUAGGUUGGGGUGUUAUCUGGUGAGCAUUUUAUCCAAUUGAAAAGUUUUUUUUUUUUUUUUCUCUGUUCUUGUUGAACUUAGAAGGGUUAGUUCUAUGAUUCUGUGUUUAUGUUAUAUUGCUUUGCUUCCUAAUUAUAAAGCGAUGUACCUCGUUGCAGGGGGCUCAUCUCUUUCUUGUUUCUUUGUGGAGCCAUGUACCUUGGUCUUGUGAUCUUGUCUUGAGGUACAUUCUGCUUGGACUAUUUAUUGUUUGUGUUUCUGUUUUGUUGCAUCUGCAAGGAUCAUCUUUAGGGUUGAGUGAGAUAUAGCAUGGUUUGGCUCCCAUGGCUUAUAUAUAUGUUGCCUAUCACAAACAAAAAAACGCCUUACAUAAUGUUUUUAUGGAAAUCCUUUUCUGUUGUAUUUGUCAAUUUUUCAGGAGGUUGACAAAUUAGGUUGUGAAUCAUGGCGAGACCAAGGACUUCUUCACGCUCCAUGCUCCUAUUUAUGGAUGUUGUUGCAUGAUAAUAUUGGAGGUGUCUCCACCAUGCUGAAUUCCAGAGCUUCGAGAUCGUCUCAACAGUUUUAUGCUAGAAAAUUUUCUGCUUUAUGAUUGACAUUGUUCUGAAUUUUGUUUCUUUUUUUUAACGGCUUUUUUUUUAGCAGAAAGAAAUUUAUAAUAGCAGCCUGAACAAGCAGUAAUUGGGAAUUGAAAUUAGCAAGUCUAUUGGAAGAGUGAACCAUCAACUGAAUAACAUUUUACUGUAAACAAAAUUACCCUGGUUGGCUGCACAAUUUCUUACAAGAAUUAGUCUUACACAUACACGAAACAUAAUUGGAUUAGUCUCGACAGUAAGAGUGAAAACCCAGCCAGGGCAUGUUGUGGGACAUGGGAUUUGGCGUUUGUCAGAACAUUGCUGCAUUCAUGUUUAUGCAUCGCCAAAUCUGGGUUCAAAGCCAUUGCUUCAUGAUCAGACCAUGUUGCAAACAAGUUUUAAUCAAGGGGUUUAUAGGAUCCGCCAACAAGAAUUAUAUUUUCCAAGCUGCAAAUGCACAUUCAUCACAAAUUAACAUGCUUGUAUGACCAAUAAUUUCCGAACUCCAAGAUGCCAUACUGAGAAUAAGGAAAAUUCCUUGAAAGGAUAAGAAUCCUACAUCAAACCAAACAAUUCCAGGGGGCAUAAAGCAGAUCAAAAAGAAAUAAGAAACUUCACAACGGUUCCUGCUUACUAAGCCAACUCAUUAACAUCAAAAUUUUAAAUAGUGCCCACUAAAUGCAGUUGUUAAGGGAAAAAGACAUGUAACAGAGACAAAUCAACGAGUAUAUCUAAGCCUCCGUCAGCGGGUACUCAAAGACAACAUCUUUGCCUGAAAGCUUCCUGUAAACUGCAGCAAAGGUCUCCAGCUUGUACUCAGUGUUGUUGCGUUCUUUUGGGUCCAAGAAAAUCUGCACAUACAGAAUUAAGAUGAGUGUGAGUGCAAGCAAACCAAGGACACAUCAUUCUUUUUUGCAAAAUAAUAAUAAUAAUAAUAAUAAUUUAAAUAAAUAAAACACUGGUAUAGCUUGUUUACAAGAAAUUUAUUGCUGAGCAGAACAUUCAUAAAAGAGUUAGUUGCUUCAUUAGAUAAGUUGAUAAUGAACCUUAGCCCAAUGGCUACUCUUUUUCCUGAUACUUUCAUCCAGGACAUGUCUGGCUACAUAUUUACCAAAUCAUUCAUUGACAAUAUGUAUACCCAGAUCUCAAUUGCCUGCUCCCCUAAAAUGAUGUCACCAAAGGUGUAGACUAGGAACAUGUGAUUGAUUAUGCAAUGAUAGUUAUUAUUUUGACCUUGAUUAUCUUGGAUCCAUCAAGACGGUAUCUGAUGCGCUUCCCAACUAUCUCAGCAGGUAGAACAAUAUCUUCCAGCAUUGCCUCAUGCACAGAAGUGAGUGUGCGGCUACGGGGCCGUUGAACAGCAGAACCUUUCUUUGGGGGCCUCACUAUCCUCCGAGUGGCAAUGAAGAUCACAUCCUGCCAGACAAUUUUAGGGUGAGCUUAGAAAAACAAGGAUGCCACAACCAGGAAGUAUAAUCCAAUAUUUUUACCACCAUCUCUGACACUUUGAAUCAGCAUGACAGAGACAACUGGAUUGAACCAAGCUACCAGCUCAUAAAAGUCAGAUCAAGCAAAGGCUCCAUAGCAUUAUCUAGUAGAGUGCAUCAUUUGGUAUAAAUUUGUUUCAGUCUCACGCAGCGCAUUACCAAAUUCCAGCUUCUUGUUUACCUUGGAAUCAGAAUUAAAUUGCAAUUAAACCAAAGGAAAGUAGUGGUUAUAUUACCUUCCCACUGAACUUCUUCUCAAGCUCUCUCACAAGCCUAACAUGAAUCUUGCGGAAAGCUUUUCUCAGUCUGUAGGGGAUAUGUAUAACAACAGCCUUUCGGGUGCCAGAGACAUCCACUUGACUGCACCAAUGCAGAGAGAACAAGAAUAAACUACUAAAUAAUGGCCAAGGACAAUUCCUUUUUAAAAACAUACAUUUCAUAAAUCA